UUUUACACAACAAGAUAUAAAAGGGGGCCCCCCACUAAGAGAAAGGAAAUAUUCCUUUUGGCUAUUUAUAUAUAUACACAGAACACGGUAAGGGGGGGCAUACACCAUUCUUUUCUUCUUAUUCUUCUGGGUUCACAAACACACGACACCAAAAGGACACACAAGUACAGAGGCUAUUUUUCUUCUUUUCCUUUUUCUGCUAUUUGGCGCACACACACACAUGGAUGGGGUGGACAGACCUUAAAUCAAGAGAGUAGGAGAGAUAGAUAGAGGGUAAAGCAGUGGAGAGAGGGAGAGAGGAAGAGAGAGAGUGAAGCAACGGGUGAGGGAUAGAGACCGCCAAACUCGUGUGGGAAACCAGAUCUCGCCGGUGAUUCGGCACCGACCAAGUCCACUCCUAAAAAAUAGCUUCGUUAUUCACUGAAAAACACUCAAAAACCCAACCAAAGUUGACCCGUCUUUAUCCUUCCCAUCGCAUAUCAUCGAAAAAUUUCAUCAGUGAUGCAAAUGGGUGCGCAAUUUCACAAGUGACUCAAAUCUUGGUCAAAUUUAGUUGUCAUUAUUUGGGUUUUCCUUUCGAGUCAUUGCGGAGCUCUUUUCGAAUUGGAUUUCGAGGAAUUUUGUGUUAGAAUUAGUUUAAAGUUGAGAUCUCGGUGUUCGUUGAGGUUCCAAUGAGGCCGAAUUCAUGAGCUCCGGUUAGCUGCACAAUUUGAAAUCAAAAGUGCAAUCAAAUAAUAAUCGUAGUUCGAAACACUCAAUUUAAGGUCCAUCUCUCAAGUCUUAUUCUCAGUUAAUUCUUAGUUUUUAUGUGAUUUAUUGAUAUCGUCUCAAUUUUUCUCUUAUUUUGUGCAUGAUGUGAAUGAUGGAUGUUAUAUUGUAUUGACAAUGGAUGGUUAAAAUUAUUAAUUGUGAAUUGUGGAAAUUUGGUGUUAAAAGGGAAUUCGGGGUGCGAAUUAAAAAUUGUUAAAGUGAAUUAUGAUUAAUUUUGAUUUGUUGUUGUUUUGAUUCAUCGUUAUUGUUAGUUUCAUGUCUAAUUGACAAUUUCGCAAUAGAAUCAUGAUAGGUCAAAUGAGAUAGGCAAUAGUAGGCUCGGGUAGGCAAAUUAAGAACUUGUGGAUGAUGGAAUGUUCGAAAUGUAUGUUGAAUGGCUUUGUUUUAUCGCAUUUGAAUCAAUUGUACUCAUUUGGCCGGGGAAUGCCCCGAGGUAUCUGUAUUGCUUUAUCUGAGGAAUGCCCCAAGAAAGUUGUACUGGAAGAUGGCGCAUGGUCAAGGCCCAGAACGUCGGGUGGAGUUUAGCUUAGAAUAGAAUAGGAUUUACAUUUCUACAUUUUUAUUUCAGAACUGUAUAAUUCGGACUCGACAUUAUUUUGGUUUUGAAUUUUUUUGUUUGUUUGUUUGAUUGGUUUGUGUGUUUUUUUGUGUGGUUUAUACAUUCUAUAGUGUCAAAUUAGCCGAUAUUAUAGACACCUAAUUUCGUCCCUCCCCGAUGACGUUUUUACCCAUUCUUAUUUUAUCCUACCGUGUACCCUCACCCAUGUUAUUAUACCCUCACAAAAUACAAAAAAAAAAACAAAAAAUAAAUAAAAUAACAAAAUCCCUAACAAAACCUAUCCUAACUAAUUCUAUCUUAUCCUAACAACCUACCCAAUCAAAAUAAACCACACCAUCCCAUACCCUACCCCACCUACCCUACCCCAAUACCUACCUCACAAUAUAUACACACAUACUCAGAGAAGAACAGCAUACAGAUCACAGCUCCCAUCCAUUUUUCUUCUUCUUAUAUUCAACACAAACAGUAACAAGAAAAGGGAGAGCACGGACGAUCUUUCUUUUUCUUUCAUUUUUUUUCAUAAUCCACAAUUUUUCAUCUUCUUCACUCGCAUCUCACUGGAAACACACUCACGGACACACAAAUACACAUAUAAUUCACACCCCACUCUCUAUUGACAGUACAUACGCACACACUCGCGGGUGACGGGAAAUAUACACGCACCAUCGCCAGAGACCACACAGCUGACUGGAAUCCACACAUACGCCUACACACAGAGAGAGAAUUAAGGUUGAAAGAUUGAGAGAGGAAGAGAGAUCGAGAGAAAAUAGAAAAAUGGAGAGGAAUAGAAAUAGAGAAAAGGAGGAGGAGAAUGAGUUGAUCGGAAUAGAGGGAUUUUAGAGUUUUUCGGUGAGAUCUCACCGGAGAACUGCCGGGAAAACUCAUCGGAGAGCCGAAAAUACAGCAGCAACAAUAACCAGCUCCAAAGCCCUCCUAAAAUCUGAUUAAACUAGUGUCCAAUUACUCUGUUGCCAUCACUGUCACUGUCCAACAGUGGGUAUCUACCGAAAAAGCAUUUGAGUCGACGUCUUUGUCCUGUUUCAGCAAAAUAUAUCAUUAAAUGGGCGAAAAUCCUAGAAAUUGGCCUCAUUCAUUUUAACAGGUCAUAUCAGUGUUUUCUCCGUCUUUUAUUUUGGCUAGAUUCGGGCUUUGCUUUGCGAUGCCGAGUGGUAUAAGGCUGUUUGGGGUCGAGUUUGGUCAUUGUGGAGGUUCGGCUCGGGGUUUCGAAACGACUUUAUUUUUCUUAAUCAAGCCAGAAUAUUCUGAAGGUCCAUUUCUUAACCCGCUCUCUUUUAUUUAUCUUGGUGUAUCAAAUUGGUUGUGAUUAUGUUUGGUGUUAUUAUGUUUGUUGGUUUUAUUGUUGAUAUUGAUCAUUGCGUUUGUUGAUUCGGCUAUGGUGGGUUGAGGAAAGAAUUUGACCAUGUGUUGAUUGUUGAUUGAUAAAAAUGAAGCUACUGCGGGUCGAAUUGAGAACUUGAUAAAAAGGGAUGUAAUAGAUUGACGUGGGUUUAUUAUUAUUUAUGUUCAAUCCAAAAUAUGUAAACAUUGAGUGAAUGUGAUUGAUUUAUGACAUGUUGAAAUGGACAGGCAAUAUAGGUUUGGGUAGGCAAAUUUUAGAAUUAAGUGCUUUGUUGGAUGUGACCGUGGAGUAAGUGUUGAAUGUUUUCUACUUUAUCACAUUCGAUUCAAAGUGUAUUUAUUUAACCAGGGAAUACCCCGAAGUUGCCCCAAAAUAUUUUGUACGCAAAGGAUGCUCGUGAUCAAGGCCCGAGGCAUCGGGUAAAGCAUAGUUUAGGACUAGUGUAGGUUAUUUUAGUAUUUUUAUUUCAGGUUGUAAUAAUUGGACUGGACUUUACAUUUUGUUUUGUUUUGUUUACUGUUUGAUUAUUUUGCGUGCUUUUGUGUGGUUUCUACAUUUUGUAAUGCCAAAAUAGUUGAUACACUCCACCCAAGCGAUCGUGGCUGAACCACGGGAUCGAGGGGUGCCUAACACCUUCCCCUCGGUCAAUAGAAUUCCUUAGCCGGAAUCUCUAUUUGCAAAACCAGUUUAAGAGUCAAAUGGUUUCGAAAAGGAUUUUCCAAAGUGACUUGGCACACCGGAUUAUGCCAAGUGGCGACUCUGCAUAAAAAAUGUAAAUAAUCCUUUUCCAAAAUAAAUUUUCAGUUCUUGUCACUUAAAUAAUAAAAUCCUUUCGGACUUAAAAUAUACAUUUUUUGAGUACGUAAAAAAAGGGGGUGCGACAGCUUCUGGCGACUCUGCUGGGGAACAACAACAAGUUUUCAGAAUUCGAGCUAUUUUUGGAGUCGUAUCGGCUUUGUUUGGCAUUACAAGUGUAUAAGCUUGUUUGUGAUUUUGUUUGCAUUAUUGUUUUCACUUUUGUGCGUUUUUUUGUGCUCUGUGUUUAUAGUAUUUAUCCUAUGUGUUACCGCUUUAUAUCUGUCAUCAUGAGUCCACCCCCCGGCCUUCUUUCUGCAACAAGUCCGUAGUACACAUGUUGUACACAACCUCUAGUUGAGUCACCCUUGUUCUAAAGGGGGAGCCGUCCAUGUUAUGGAUUAGGUGGAAAGCAAAGCAGCCACUAUCGACCAUACGCUCCCCCGAACAGCCUUGUUAGUGAACCACAAUGUAGGUCAGCCUUUAGGUCAUGCUUAUGUGCAUCAUAUUGAGACCUAAUGGGGCCCACUUGAUCCUUUGUAGGAGACUCACCUCUAAAGCAUCCCUACGUGCUAAAUGUUGCAUCUUUUAGGAUAACGUGGUCAUUUGAUAGAUUGAUUUUUGAAAAAACAAAUUGUUAGGAAUAAGGUGCGUAGGAAAAAACGAAAAAGAAAAAAAAUAGAAAAGUGAGUCGAAAAGAAUGAAAAAAAAGGGAAUGUCGUAGUUUAUUUUAGAAUUCUUUAUGGCUUUGGUUCUUCACAAUCCAAAAACUCAAAAAGAUUUUUUUUUUCCGUUUUGCAUUUGUCUUCUCAAAGUACCGUAAAUUCAAAAAAAAAAUAAAAAAAAUAAUCAAAAUGAAAAAAAAAAUGUGUUCGCCUUUUCUACUUAUUUUUCAAAAACAAAAAUACCAAAAAGUUUUUUUUUUCUUCAUAAUUGGUGGUGUCAAUCUUAGUUAAAGUGUCUAGCUGAAAAUUCAAAAGUUUUUUUCGUUUGUUUUUGGUAGUGUCUCUUAAGUUAGGGUCAAUUUAUUAGUUAAUCCUUAAUUGUCCAAUCUGAAUGAAUUACGCAUACUUGAUUCCCUUCCCUCGGGUUGAGAUACGUAGGCAACCCUCGGUGGGUCCGAUAAAUCUUUGUGUUGGGCUUUGUCUUCUUAUUAGCCUAGGUCUCUCGCCCCAUAAUCUAGAGUUGUUUGCCAAGUAGACUGAUUUCGCUCAGUACUUCUGUUCGGCAAAUUGGAGUCAUGAAUGUGCUCUGUCCCAUCGACAUAUGUUUGCGUCAAAAAUCCCAAGGGUUUGGAAUCGUCUACUCCUGUCGAAUUUUUUUUGAGAUAAUGUCUUGUGUGUUAUUAUAGGAUGGAUUUGUCCACCAAGUUUAGAGUUCUGAUGGUUGUCAAGGUGCCCAAAAAGUUAAUCAAAUGGUGGGAAAUGUUUAACUAUGUUGAUCAGCAGAAACUGGUUAAAAUAUUAGGUGAUCUUACGGAACUUCUGCACGUUACCCCUCGUCUAGAUCUAAUAGAGGCUUUGUUGACCUUUUGGGAUCCGAGUGGUUUGGUAUUCAAGUUUGGGGAAUGUGAAAUGACUCCUACUUUGGCAGAAAUAUCUGGUUUGUUGCAUUUGCCCUAUAUCGACAAGGAUAUGAUACGAGCACGAAAUCAUACUGGCGUGAGAUUUUUGCAGUCAUGUGGUUUAAAAAGUAAGGGUAUCCAUUUGGGUUGUUUAAGUGAUUCGUGGGUUUCCCUAGAUUUUUUGUUCGCUAGAUUCGGGCCCUCGGAAGGUUUUGAUUGCUUUUGGGAUGAAUUUCAUGUGACUAAGGAGAAGUGGGACAGAAAGCGUCUUAAAGUCUUCACCCUCGCUUUGUUAGGUACUUUAGUGUUUCCACUAGAAGAAAGGCAUAUUAAUACCUAUUUGCAAUCUGUGGUGAUGACCCUAUUUCAUAGGGAUCAAAACGACGAGGGCAUUAAUCAAAAGGGUAGGUUCACUUUCAUACCCAUGAUCUUAACAGAAAUAUAUAAGGCUUUAAUUGAAGUGAAGGGGGGAAGGAGAUUUUUUAAGGGCAGUAACCUGAUAUUGCAGUUAUGGAUGAUGGAGCAUUUGCAUGCGCCUUCUUUAGUUAGACCAGACGUUGUAGAUCGUUGUAUUCCCAAUCGAGUGAAAGCCAUGGAACCCAGGUUGCGUUUGGAUAAAUUCUCGUUACCCGCGGGAGUCGAGGCUUGGAUUGAAUUUCUUGAAUCAAGAACCGGGGAUAACAUUCUGUGUACUUAUCUGUGGCUUCGCCCAAAGAUAGUAUUGUUGGGUUGUCAGACGCAGCUCCCUUUAGUUAUGUUAGGGCUCAAUUGCACUAGACCAUACAGUCCUUCUAGGGUAAUGCGCCAGCUGGGUAGGCUGCAGGACGUGCCACCAGCAGUAGAUCUUCUAAAGGAUGUUGAGUACUUCAAGGACCAAGCCUUAGGUGAGAGCAAGUAUGAACAGUUUUGGAAACAGGCAACAAAGCUAAGUGUGGACAUGCUCAAAGACAGUUUGGAUAAUCUGGGGUACACUCAGGGAUAUGAGUUCUGUCUUCAAUCUAUCCCUCGGGGUAUCAGUCAACCCUUACCAGCGCAACUUAGAGGAAGAAUAUAGGAAGAAUGCAUAGUAGACGACCAUCAGGAUAAAAGGGUAGGGUCCAAAGUGGAAACACUAAGAGUUCAGUUAGCAGAUUUGUUCAAGACGGUAGAAAGGUGUUAGAAUAAUCUUUCCAAGUGCACUCCUCAUGAAGCAGGAAUACGGGCCCGAAGCUUCCUCCCCGNNNNNNNNNNNNNNNNNNNNNNNNNNNNNNNNNNNNNNNNNNNNNNNNNNNNNNNNNNNNNNNNNNNNNNNNNNUCCAGGGUCAUCACGCAGAGCACCAGUCUAAAAGAGCACUUCUUAUCUUUAUUCAGUUUGAGUCUUUUAUGUAUCUGUCAUUGUAGGGUGGUGUCUGCUUUAAGUCGAAGUCAAUUUGUUUUUGGUAUUAGAGUCUUAAUUAGUAAUUUCACCUACGUCGUCUUAGGGGUCUAUAAUUUGGUUUCGUAUUUGUUGUUUAGUUUUAAAGUGGUCCCAAACUUUUGUACGUUUUUGUUGUGUUUUGAUGUUACGUCUUUCCUUGUUUUGUUUAUUCUCGUUUACGAAAAAAAAAAUAUGCAAAAAGAUUUUCGUCAAUUCUUUUGACACUUUGUUUCGAGAAAGAAAAAAAAGAGUUUAAUUGGCGUGCCGAACUACGCAAGAGCUGAUUCAUGUACAACAUGAUACGUAGGUAACCUACUUUUGGGUUCGAUCUAAUCAUUUUGUUUCAUUGUUUUUCAUUAUUUUUCCNNNNNNNNNNNNNNNNNNNNNNNNNNNNNNNNNNNNNNNNNNNNNNNNNNNNNNNNNNNNNNNNNNNNNNNNNNNNNNNNNNNNNNNNNNNNNNNNNNNNNNNNNNNNNNNNNNNNNNNNNNNNNNNNNNNNNNNNNNNNNNNNNNNNNNNNNNNNNNNNNNNNNNNNNNNNNNNNNNNNNNNNNNNNNNNNNNNNNNNNNNNNNNNNNNNNNNNNNNNNNNNNNNNNNNNNNNNNNNNNNNNNNNNNNNNNNNNNNNNNNNNNNNNNNNNNNNNNNNNNNNNNNNNNNNNNNNNNNNNNNNNNNNNNNNNNNNNNNNNNNNNNNNNNNNNNNNNNNNNNNNNNNNNNNNNNNNNNNNNNNNNNNNNNNNNNNNNNNNNNNNNNNNNNNNNNNNNNNNNNNNNNNNNNNNNNNNNNNNNNNNNNNNNNNNNNNNNNNNNNNNNNNNNNNNNNNNNNNNNNNNNNNNNNNNNNNNNNNNNNNNNNNNNNNNNNNNNNNNNNNNNNNNNNNNNNNNNNNNNNNNNNNNNNNNNNNNNNNNNNNNNNNNNNNNNNNNNNNNNNNNNNNNNNNNNNNNNNNNNNNNNNNNNNNNNNNNNNNNNNNNNNNNNNNNNNNNNNNNNNNNNNNNNNNNNNNNNNNNNNNNNNNNNNNNNNNNNNNNNNNNNNNNNNNNNNNNNNNNNNNNNNNNNNNNNNNNNNNNNNNNNNNNNNNNNNNNNNNNNNNNNNNNNNNNNNNNNNNNNNNNNNNNNNNNNNNNNNNNNNNNNNNNNNNNNNNNNNNNNNNNNNNNNNNNNNNNNNNNNNNNNNNNNNNNNNNNNNNNNNNNNNNNNNNNNNNNNNNNNNNNNNNNNNNNNNNNNNNNNNNNNNNNNNNNNNNNNNNNNNNNNNNNNNNNNNNNNNNNNNNNNNNNNNNNNNNNNNNNNNNNNNNNNNNNNNNNNNNNNNNNNNNNNNNNNNNNNNNNNNNNNNNNNNNNNNNNNNNNNNNNNNNNNNNNNNNNNNNNNNNNNNNNNNNNNNNNNNNNNNNNNNNNNNNNNNNNNNNNNNNNNNNNNNNNNNNNNNNNNNNNNNNNNNNNNNNNNNNNNNNNNNNNNNNNNNNNNNNNNNNNNNNNNNNNNNNNNNNNNNNNNNNNNNNNNNNNNNNNNNNNNNNNNNNNNNNNNNNNNNNNNNNNNNNNNNNNNNNNNNNNNNNNNNNNNNNNNNNNNNNNNNNNNNNNNNNNNNNNNNNNNNNNNNNNNNNNNNNNNNNNNNNNNNNNNNNNNNNNNNNNNNNNNNNNNNNNNNNNNNNNNNNNNNNNNNNNNNNNNNNNNNNNNNNNNNNNNNNNNNNNNNNNNNNNNNNNNNNNNNNNNNNNNNNNNNNNNNNNNNNNNNNNNNNNNNNNNNNNNNNNNNNNNNUAAGUUCGAGAAGUAUGCAGGACACGGUGAUCCCGUGGCACACUUAAGACGUUAUUGCAACCAGUUGAGGGCUGCAGGAGGAAAGGAAGAACUGCUCGUGGCCUUCUUUGGCGAGAGUCUUUCAAAUCUGGCCUCAGAAUAGUUUAUCGAUCGAGAUAUCGAUAAAUGGAACAGCUGGGAUGAUUUGGCUUCUGAAUUAGUUCAACAUUUUUAGUACAACAUCGACCUAAUUCCGAAUAAAAAAUCCUUUUUCAAUAUGAAGAAGAAGACCACCGAAGGUUUUAGGGAAUACGCGAUAAGGUGGCGUGAACAGGCAGCCAGGGUAAAGCCUCCAAUGAAAGAAAGUAAGUUGGUAGAAGUUUUCAUUCAGGCGCAGGAUGAGACCUAUUUUCAACAUUUACUUCUGGCAAUGGGGAAGUCUUUUAUGGAAGUCCUCAAAAUGGGGGAGAUGAUAAAGGACGAAAUUAAGAUCGACCGAAUAGUGAGUUUUGCCAUAUUAAAAGCCACCAUACAAGCGAUUCAAGGUGGAUCUGGUGUAUUUGGAGGUAAAAAGAAGAAAGAGGAUGUAGCGACUGUCGUAGCUGGAACCCAUUCCUAUCCCAAAAGACCACCUCGCCCCUAUCCCCAAUCCCAAGCCCAAAUCUACGCCCAAGCUCCAUAUAUUCCUCCCCACCAUUACUAUCCUCCAUAACACCCUUUAUAUUUUAUUCCACCACCACCGUACCCAGUAUAUAGCGCGCAACCAUAUGCCCAAACCUCUUCUUACCCGCAAUGGCACGCGCAAGCUCCACAAAAUCGCCCAUUCGCUCUACCAAAUUACCAAAACCCCUCCAGACCCAGUUUUCAGCCUAGGCUCGAGUAUAAGAAGAAGAAGGUGGUCAAAAAUCAAUUCACUCCUCUUGGGGAGUCAUGUGCUAGCUUGUUUAAUAGGUUUAGAAAGUUGAAGGUUUUAAUCCCAAUUCAAGGAAGGCUUUCAAAUCCACCGCCGAGGAAUCUCAACUAUUCUUUAAGGUAUGCGUACUGUUCUGAUAUGCCAAGCCAUGAUAUCGAGAAAUGCUGGCAUUUAAAGAGAGUUGUCCAAGAUUUAAUUGACAUGAAUCAGACGCUGGUCCAGGCCCCGGAGGGUCCAAACAUUAACCAGAAUCCACUGCCAACCCAUGCUGAAGCCAAUAUGUUAGAAUUGAUAUAUGACGGGAAAGUGAUAUAUGACAGUAAAGAGUCUUCGAGGGGUUAUAAGUCUAUUGUCAAGAUACAGACCAUUGAGGAGAAAUCGGUGAAUGUAGCUGAGUCUUUGAAAGCAAUGUCAUUGAACUGGGAAGGAAUCAGAGAAGAUAAAGCCCAAGAAAGCCCAAAGAAACCCUUGAUCACAGUACAAGGCACCAGAAGGUAUGUUGAUUUAAGUCAGGAUAAACCUAAGUUGACGGUGGUGGGAGCUCUGAGUCAGCCCAUCUUGAUGGUGAAAGGAGCACUGGCAGCGCCUAUUGUCCUCAAAUNNNNNNNNNNNNNNNNNNNNNNNNNNNNNNNNNNNNNNNNNNNNNNNNNAUUAUGUGCGUACUAUGAUGACCUAUCACAGGAAAGAAGUUAUGGAAGAUGUAGAUGAGGUAGGGGGUUUGACUAGGUCAGGAAGAUGCUUUGUGCCUGAAAGCUUAAGAAAGUCCAAGCUAAUGGCGAGUAGACCGUCAUCUAUCAAAAAGCCUAUCACCAAAGAAGAAGUCGAAGAAUUUUUGAAAAAGAUGAAAUUGCCAGAGUAUUCAAUAUUGGACUAAUUGAAGAAAACCCCUGCUCAAAUUUCCCUUUUAUCUUCGCUGUUGCAUUCGAAGUAGCAUCGUGAUAUUUUACUGAAGGUAUUAAAUGAAGCAUAUGUUCCAAGGGAUAUUACAAUCAACCAACUUGAGAAAAUGGUCGGAAAAAUCUUUGAAGUCAAUCGAAUCAGCUUUUCUGAUGAGGAAUUGCCUGUUGAAGGUACAGGGCAUAACCGGGGCCUUUACAUUACAGUGAAAUGUGAAGAUUUCUACAUCACUCAUGUUAUGAUUGAUGGAGGUUCAAGUGCAAAUAUUUGCCCUAUUUAUACUUUGCAAAAGUUAAAUAUUGGUGCUGACAGGAUCAGACCCAACAAUGUAUGUGUUAGGGCUUUUGAUGGUGCAAAAUCAAAUUCCAUUGGCGAAAUAGAACUAAUGUUGACCAUAGGGCCUGUUGAGUUCAUCAUAGUGUUUCAAGUAUUGAAUGUAGACUCCUCUUACAAUCUGUUGUUGGGAAGGCCGUGGAUUCACAAGGCCAAGGCGGUUGCAUCUACACUGCACCAAAUGAUUAAGUUUGAGCAUGACAGGCAAGAAGUACUUAUUCAUGGUGAGGGAGAUUUGUCAGCCUAUGAAGAUUCUCCCUUGUCUCUUAUUGAAGCAAAUAACAUAGAGGAGACAUUUUUUUAUCAAAUUUUUGAUACAGUGCCAGUGAAUCGUAUCUUUGAAUGGCAAGCUAUACCGGGACCACAAUUAUCUUUUGCUUCUAUCAUGAUGGUGAGUGAACUUUGGAAAUAUGUAUUUGAGCCAGGAAAGGGUUUGGGAGCAUCUCUGCACGAUAUAGUUCAUCCCAUAUGUCCAAGUGUGAACGUGGGCACAUUUGGUCUGGGAUUUGAGCCUACAGCUGAAGAUCUGAAGAAAGCCAAGGGAAGGAAAAAGGAAAUAUGGUCACUCCCUCGCCCAAUGCCACUACUUAGUGAAUCAUUGUUAAGAGCGGUGUCACGAAGCAUGUGGAAUUUGAGGAUGAAUUAGUUGAUGACUUCUAGAACCUUUGUAUUGAAGUUUAUAUGGUCGAAGCAGGAGAAGGUACCAGUAUGGCAGGCAUGAAAUUCAUUGGUCCAGCUGUCCAACUCAAUAAUUGGGAAGUCACUCCUCUCCCCGUUAGGAGGGAGUUUUGGUAGUUUAUUUUGUUUUUCUUUCUGUUUAUCCGAGUUAUUUCAGGGUUGUAAUUUGGAUUUUAGUUUGCUUAUGUUAUGUUGGUAUUUGUUUUUUAAGCCCUUCUAUCUUUUAUUUAAUGAAAUACAAUGUCCCUUUUGUUUCGUGUCUAAUAUAUUUUGUUUUCUUUUUUACACAGUUCUCUUUAUGCUGAUUCUAAUGACAUGACAUGCGUGCGGAAUUUUUAGCCUAAUCUUAAAAUACAAACUAAUCAAGAUCUAAUGAAGCAGGAUGGGGAAUAUGAUAAAGAAAAAGCACUAGAAGAAAUAAGCAAAGAGUUGGAACAAUUUGAAGACAAACCGAAUCCUAAUUUGAAUGAGACUGAGCCAAUAAAUCUAGGGGAUCAAGAAGAUGUUAGGGAUAAAAUCAGUGUACAUGCUUUGCCACAUCUAAAAGAUGGAAUGAUUCAAGCAUUAAUUGAUUACAAGGAUGUUUUUGCAUGGUCUUAUGAUGAUAUGCAUGGUUUAAGCACUGAAUUAGUGGCUCACAAAUUGCCAUAUGAUCCCGCAUUUCCUCCUGUCAAACAGUCUUGGUGGUGAAAACCCCCGUGGGCAUAAUAAGGCGAUGGUGAGUCGAGAGAAAUAAAAAUGAGAGAGUCUUAUUGGUGAAAACCUUUACAGGUACCAUAAGGCGAUGGUGAGUGGAGAGAAAUAAAAAUGAGAGAGUCUUAUUGGUGAAAACCCUCACGGGCACCGUAAGGCGAUAGAGAGUUCAAGAGAAAAGUGAAAAAGUGAGAAGAAAGAAAUUUGUUGGCAAAAGUCUUUUAAGAUGUCGUCAAUCGAAUGUGAUGUAUGAGUCUAAUGGAUUUGAAGAAGCGGCUCAGCGGCAAAAGGUACAAACUCAACAACAAAUGGGGAGUCUAGAUAGGAAGAUCAGGCAGCUUAAUCCAAAAUGCAUGUCAUACUCAUUGGAGUUGGUUGUCGUAUUCAGAUAAGUUUUCUUUUUGAAUAUGGAACAUUGCCCUUUUCUUUCAUUUACAUAUUCAUGCUUUUUGUCUUUUUAUGUCAUUUAUCAAAAUAAAAGUCACCAUAAUUUCUUUAUAUUUUAAGUCAAGUCUGUGUCAAAACAAGUGAGAAAGGAUUUCAAAAUUUACUACCAGUCUUUCCAAUUAUAUGAGAAAAAGCCAAGGAACAGCACAGGAAGAAAUAUAAUCGUAAUUCAACAUGAAGCAAAGGAAGGCUAUCAACCGAUAGGCUUUUGGAUCCAUAGAAACAUUCAAAUUUAGGAAAAAGUGCACCUCAGGGGCAUGGUAAAAUGGAAACUCGUUGUUUGAGUCAAACUCAUUUCCCUCAAUCUGGGUCCGGGUCGAUGAUGCGGCAAGACGGGGCAGGAGUUAGCAAUCUGGAACAAAGUUGAAAGGAACGAGUGCUAGGGCAGAUACCUGAGAAGCCAAGAGCUGCAAGCCACCACUAAGUUUUUAACUGACAAAUUUUCUUAGUUGAUAAAGGGGCAAAUUCGCUUCACUUAAUUCAGCUAUCAUUGGAAAUGCACAUCUAAGGGAUUUUACUUUCUGUUCAGGACCCUCCUUAAAAAUGGGAUUUUACUUUCUGUUCAGGACCCUCCUGAAAAAUGACAAUUUACUUUCUAUUCAGGACCCUCCUGAAGAAUGGGAUUUUACUUUCUGUUCAGGACCCUCCUGAAAAAUGGGAUUUUACUUUCUGUUCAGGAGGUUCUGUUUAGGACCCUCCUGAAAAAUGGGAUUUUGCUUUCUGCUCAGGACCCUCCUGAAAAAAUGGGAUUUUGCUUUAUGUUUAGGACCCUCCUGAAAAAUGAGAUUUUACUUUCUAUUCAGGACCUUCCUGAAAAAUGGGAUUUUACUUUCUGUUUAGGACCCUCCUGAAAAAUGGGAUUUUACUUUCUGUUCAGGACCCUCCUGAAAAAAUGGGAUUUUGCUUUCUGUUCAGGACCCUCUUGAAAAAUGGGAUUUUACUUUAUGUUCAGGACCCUCCUGAAAAAAAUGAGAUUUUUACUUUCUGUUCAGGACCCUCCUAAAAAAUGGGAUUUUACUUUAUGUUGAGGACCCUCCUGGAAAAUGGGACAACACUUUCAAAAAUGAAAUACAACUUUACUAUAAUGUUUUGUUUGGGAUAAGUUUUGUUCUAGUUUUAAUUUUGGGUUUCAGGAGCCCGCCUGAAGAACAGGGUGAUGAAAUAGCAAGUCAGGAGCCCGCCUGAAGAACAGGGUGAUGAAGUAACAAGUCAGGAUCCCGCCUGGAGAAUAGCGUGAAGAAACGAAAAGUCAAGCAACAAAGUGAAGCAAUUGAAAGCCAAGCAACAAGUUGAAAGAAAUUGCAAGUCAGGAGCCCGCCUGAAGAAUAGGGCGAUAAAAGUCGAGUCAUGAACCAACAAAAGUUGUAUAGAUAGGAUUUUUGUAAUUUCAUUUAUACUUUAACUUGUAAUUUUAAUUUUGGAUGUAAUAACAGAGCUGCGGACCGGAACCUCGAUGGAACCUUACUCGACUCUCCAACUCGGUAUAGUCCACUUCUCUUCCAAUCCUUUGAAAUACCCGUGACUUGAUUCUCUCAUGACUUGGGUAGAUAGGGUGUCCGACAGGAGUCGAUUGUCCUUCCUUCUUUUACUCCUCUCUUUGAAUAAUGAUCGGGACAAAAUUCGGUCUCGUUGUCUACUUCUUUGUCUGAAAACACUUCAUGUUUACAUUCAAAGGGGGCAUGAUGUAGACACCUAAUUUCGUCCCUCCCCGAUGUCGUUUUUACCCAUUCUUAUUUUAUCCUACCGUGUACCCUCACCCAUGUUAUUAUACCCUCACAAAAUACAAACAAAAAAUAAAUAAAUAAAUAAAUAAAAUAACAAAAUCCCUAACAAAACCUAUCCUAACUAAUUCUAUCUUAUCCUAACAACCUACCCAAUUAAAAUAAACCACACCACCCUAUACCCUACCCCACCUACCCUACCCCAAUACCCACCUCAGAAUAUAUACACACAUACUCAGAGGAGAACAGCAUACAGAUCACAACUCCCAUCCAUUUUUCUUCUUCUUAUUUUCAACACAAACAGUAAUAAAAAAAGGGAGAGCACGGACGAUCUUCCUUUUUCUUUCAUUUUUGUUUUCAUAAUCCAUAAUUUUUCAUCUUCUUUACUCGUAUCUCACCAGAAACACACUCACGGACACACAAAUACACAUAUAAUUCACACCCCACUUUCCAUUGAUAGUACAUACGCACACACUCGUGGGUGACGGGAAAUAUACACGCACCAUCGCCAGAGACCACACAGCUAACCAGAAUCCACACAUAUGCCUACACACGGAGAGAAAAUUAAGGUUGAAGAUUGAGAGAGGAAGAGAGAUCGAGAGAGAAUAAAAAAAUGGAGAGGAAUAGAAAUGGAGAAAAGGAGGAGAAGAACGAGUUGAUCGGAAUAGAGGGAUUUUAGAGUUUUUCGGUGAGAUCUCGCCGGAGAACUGCCGGGAAAACUCACCGGAGAGCCAGAAAUACAGCAGCAACAAUAACCAGCUCCAAAGCCCUCCUAAAAUCCGAUUAAACUAGUGUCCAAUUACUCCGUUUCCAUCACUAUCACUGUCCAGCACCGGGUAUCUACCGAAAAAGCAUUUGAGUCGACAUCUCUGUCCGAUUUCAGCAAAAUAUAUCAUUAAAUGGGCGAAAAUCCUAGAAAUUGGUCUCAUUCAUUUUAACGCGUCGUAUCAGUGCUAUCUCCGUCUUUUAUUUUGGCUAGAUUCGGGCUUUGCUUUGCGAUGCCGAGUGGUAUGAGACUGUUUGGGGUCGAGUUUGGUCGUUGUUGAGGUUCGGCUCAGGGUUUCGAAACGGCUUUAUUUUUCUUAAUCAAGCCAGAAUAUUCAGAAGGUCCAUUUCUUAACCAGCUCUCUUUUAUUUAUCUUGGUGUGUCAAAUUGGUUGUGAUUAUGUGUGGUGUUAUUAUGUUUGUUGGGUUUAUUAUUGAUAUUGAUCAUGACGUUGAGGAAAGAAUUUGACCAUGUGUUGAUUGUUGAUUGAUAAAAACGAAGCUAGGGGAGGUGGAAUUGAGAACUUGAUAAAAAGGGAUGAAAUAGAUUAACGUGGGUUUAUUAUUAUUUUUGUUCAAUCCAAAAUAAGUAAACAUUGAGUGAAUGUGAUAGAUUUAUGCCAUGUUGAAAUGGAUAGGCAAUAUAGGUUCGGGUAGGCAAAUUUUAGAAUUAAGUGCUUUGUUGGAUGUGAACUUGGAGUAAGUGUUGCAUGUUUUCUACUUUAUCGCAUUCGAUUCAAAGUUUAUUUAUUUAACUGGGGAAUGCCUCGAAUUAAUUUGUAUUUAUUCAUCGGGGAAUGCCCCAAAGAAUUUUGUACACAAAGGAUGGUCGUGAUCAAGGCCCGAGGCAUCGGGUAAAGCAUAGUUUAGGACUAGUGUAGGUUAUUUUAGUAUUUUUAUUUCGGGUUGUAAUAAUUGGACUGGACUUUACAUUUUGUUUUGUUUUGUUUACUGUUUGAUUAUUUUGCAUGCUUUUGUGUGGUUUCUACAUUUCGUAAUGCCAAAAUAGUUGAUACACUCUAUCCAAGCGACCGUGGCUGAACCACGGGAUCGAGGGGUGCCUAACACCUUCCCCUCGGUCAACAGAAUUCCUUAGCCAGAAUCUCUGUUUGCAAAACCAGUUUAAGAGUCAAAUGGUUUCGAAAAGGAUUUUCCAAAGGUGACUUGGCACACCGGAUUAUGCCAAGUGGUGACUCUGAAUAAAAAAUGUAAAUAAUCCUUUUUCGAAACAAAUUUUCAUUUCUUGUCACUUUAAUAAUAAAACCCUUUCGGACUUAAAAUAUACAUUUUUUGAGUACGUAAAAAAAAGGGGGUGUGACAGAUAUGCUCCACCGAGAGACCAUGGUUGAACCACGGGAUCAAUAAGUACCUAACACCUUCCCCUCGGUCAACAGAAUUCCUUUGCCGGAAUCUCUAUUCACAAACCAGUCUGAAAGAGUUAAAUUAUUUUGAGAGAGAUUUUUCAAAGGUGACUUGGCACACCGGAAUAUGCCAAGUGACGACUCUGAGUUUAAAUGUAAAUAAUCCUUUUUUGAAAUAAAUUUUCAUCUUUUGUCACUCAAUAAUAAUAAAAUCCUUUCAAACCUUAAAAUCAAUUAUUUUUGGUUAAAAAAGGGGUGCGACAAUACUCUAAUUCAUGCUAUGGUGUCAUUCAUACAAAAGUAAAGCUAUCCCAAUUCUUUUCCUACUUUGAUGUGUUCAGAUAUGUCUCAUUAUUGAAGUGAUUCAAGGGCAGAAGUUUAGAGUCUAAAUAAUAUGGUACUUCCUGAUUGAGUCAUAUAAGUUUUCAAAACUGUGCAAGGACUUGAGAAGAGUCUGUUAGUGAUUCAAGUUGUAUUGAUUCUGGGGUGAACUUUGAUUUUGAUGAAAUCAUGCUUUUUAGCCUAUGAUAUUAAGUGUAUUCAUUCCUUUUCGAAAGUUAUGUUGCAGAUGUCACGCAUAAGGUUGUUAUAGAAACCCCUUAUAGGCUGUGAAUGAAAAUGGCUAGAUUAGCCAGUAAGUUAUAAGUAUAGACUCAUUGUUGUAUGUGGAAUGUAAAGGUAGUAUAAAUGUAUGAUUGGGGUAAGUAAGUAUGAUGUGAGAAAAUCGAUUAUGUAGGUAAGAUCAUAUUGAGGUAUAAUAUAAGAUUAAGGUUGACCAUGUCUAUUAUGUGACUUUAACCCCUUGACCUUUUUUUCUUUGGUAGUUGUAAACUAGUACUACUUGUGAGAAGGUAUGUGGUAGAAUUUUGAGGUAUAGUAGUAAUGUCAUAAAGGUGUUUUGGUUGUGGGUAGUAUAUAGAUAAAAUGAGGUAUUUGGGUAAAACUUCCCAAUUUGAUGGACUAGUAUAUUAUCCUGCAUUCUUCAUUGGUAGUAGAUGGUUGAUGCUAUACAAUAGGCUUGAAUUUAAAGGUAGAAUAUGGUGGAAAGAAUAGUGGCUUAAGGUUAAUGUUGUAUGUUUUGUGGGAAUGAAUUAGUAGGCGUGAUGUGUUGAAAUAGUACGUGCUAAUGGACUAUAAUAAGGAAACCGUAAGGUCAUGAUCGAUUAUUGUUGUUAUGGAGUUCUAGUGUACUAGUGUUUCUUGAUGUUUUAUGUCAUAAUUUCCAAGUGAGAAUUGUGUGUAAGGUUGGGUUAUAAGUCAUGUUUAGCACUAGACAUUAAGUUUGAACAGUUGAUGGCCAUGAAGGUGGAUGUGAGGAUUUCUUGGUUAGUGAUACUAGUUUAUAAAAGUGAUCUAAUAGGCUUGAACAGUGUAUGCAAGAGCUUAAGUUUAUUUGAUUUGUAAUAAAGCAUGAUAUUGUAUGUAUGAUGUAGAAGUACACCCAAGGUAAUGUGAGGUUGCUGUAAAUCUUAUUUUUGGGCUAUUACAUGUUGUGUGUGGCUAGUGGUACCAUUGAGUUGCAAGGUGGAGAAAGACUAGUUAGAUGUUAUGUGGUGUUCAAAAUAGCCAAGUUAAGGAGUUUUGAUUGAUAGUGUUGAUCCUUUUUAUAUGAAAUUGAUUCUCAUGGUAGAGAGAUAUAAGUUAAGAGUCGGGAUAUUGGUAUUCUAUGAUGGGAUUAAUAUGGUUCAUCAAAGGCUUGGUAAUCCCUAUUAAGUGUUAGAAGCUAAGUUUGAGUCUUCUUGAAGAUUGAGCUAAUAGAAAUAAGAGUUAAAGCACUAAAGAGUGUGCACAACAACUUUUGGGAUAAUCAUGAAAGUGUACAACUAUUAUGUGAUGACUAUUGGGGUUAUAGAAAGAUAAGAGUGUGUCUCAGAAGGUAGUAUUAGGUGUAAUCAUUCGGGUUAAGUCCUAUUAAUUACGCGUAUUACCGUAUUCUAGACCACAGAGUGCAAUGAGUGUAGUUCAGUUUAGAGUCUAGUAAGGGAUCUGUCAAACUUAAGAUGAUGGCUUAAGGCUAAGGGGGAGAUGAUAGAACAAGUAUCCAAGUUAGGCUCUCAGAUUUUAGUAAUAAUGCCAAUAUGAUAUAGAACAGCAAAAAGUGAGGGUGAGGCUCAACCCAUUCUUAUCUCAGUAUUUUUCAGUUAUCCCAAUACCUACUCAUGCCUUACAUUUUGGUUCCACAAUCAUAGUUCAUGUUCAUGUGUAUGUUAGAGAAUCAUGUGUUCUUUCAGUUCCUAAAUGAGGAAAUUCCAGUUCAUUCGGUAGUCGAAAUCACAUUCGAUAAGUUAUGAACUCCAAAUUGAGGUCAUGCAGCUCAUGACUCAUGUACUCAUGCUUGAUGGUGUACUUAGUUCCCAUAACUCAUGUUACCCCGCCAAAUGGUUGGUGAGAUUCAGAUUUUAGCCAGGUAUGCCCACAAUUCAGAUCAUUUUGAUGGAUCCCUGAUGUUGAUUCGUUGUUCCUCAGGCCUCAGUUAAGUGUCAAGUUUUAUAUAGUAUCCUUCCAUGCUUCAAGGUCUUAUGUUCUAACCUUUUAGUGACUCUUCUUACUCAGUCUACAAGGUUACUCUUCUAAUGCCUUACGUUAUGUAUCCAAGUCCUACCUAUGUCUAAGGUUUGAGAACUUUAUGAACUAUCCCAAUAUAUCCAAGUCCUACCUAUCCCGACUUCCAAACUAGAAGAAAUAAUGUCCCUCGAUGAGUCGGUAAUUCUAGGUAUCCAAGCUCUAUAUUUUGUUGCUCAUGAAUAGUAAGUCUGUGUCCCAAAUAAUGAUUGGUUCUAGGGAAUUAUGUUUUUCAUAUGUUAACGACUUAUUUUAUGUUGGGAUUAUCCAAAAUGAUAAAGUUGUGCAAACUCAGACUAUUUCAGUUCGGAAACUGAGAAGCGGUAGCUGCGAGUAGAAGUCCUUGCCUAAAUCGUGGACUUCAUGAAUUCCACACUCAUGUUAUAAGAAUCAUAAUGAAAGCUCUCAUGUUUCACAUUGUGGUUGUCUUAAGAACUCAUGCUAUAUUGAGUUUAUGCCAGGACGACUCUCCACUUAUGAUCCAAACACUUGAUUCAUGAAAUCCUCCGUGAUUGUACCAUAUUUUUCAACUCAUGUCCAACCUUGAGUAUGGGAAUCAGUAUAUGUUAUACCCGAAUAAUGUUACACCCUUUCAUGAUGCUCUUGCCCAGGUCCUUCAAUAAACCUCUGUAUGCUAGUAUAAUGGUGGUUGUGGAAGCGUAGAAGUGUGUUAGGUGGGGGAAUAGAUAUUCUUAAAGGUGAAAAUUUUGAUGUGAUUCUCGAGCUAAGGUUAUAGGUGAAAGGAAAAGAAGGAGAUGAACUUUUGUUGUGUAAAAGCUGCAAAGGAGAAAUGUGACGAAAAUAGUUUUGAGAGUGAUUGAAAUUUGGCGGUCUUAGUAGGGAGAUCCUUGUAGUGGGUAUAGUAAUUAUUAGGCUUGAAUGUCCUGACUAAUGAAGACACAAACCUAUGUGCCAUGUGGUUAGUAUUCUUUGAAUUAAGACUAGAGAUUGUUGGAUUAUAGUGACGAGAUGAGGUGACUUCUUAAUGUGAUGUAGAGUGCAGGGUCCCGUGGUUUAAAUUAGCACCUCUUUCCUCUGGGUUAGGCUUGAAUAUAGAAGUAUUAUACGGAGGGACACAAAUUCUUGUGGUUAUAUGUGUUACGGGAGAAGAAUUGUAAGUUGGGAAUAAUGAAGUAUGCUUAUUAAUGUCGGGGUAUAGAUGAGAAGUGUUGCUAAGUUUAAGUCCUUUCAUUAUAUCUUGUAAGAUGGAGAAUGCUAAUACUCAUGCUCCGUGGGAAGCUUAUCACAUAUCUUGUACCAAUCUUAAUCAGGCCGCGGACUUUUAGAAAAAUUUAGGUCUUACAAUGUUUUGACCAUAUGCCAUAAAACACAUGCCAAGAUCAUGUUGAUGUCAAGUUUCGUUAUCUCAAGUUUCGUGCUUACUCGUUCCCUAGGGUUAUAAUGAAUAUCAUGUGAUGCCCUUGCAUAUUCUUAUUGGUAAAAAUAUAUUCAAAUCAAUAUUAUGUUCCUAAUUCUACGCUUUUAGAGAUGCAAAAAAAAGUCCCUACCAAUCAUUUGGGGAUGAAUAAUCCCAAAGGGGAGAUAAUGUAGCGCCCUAUACUUUUGGACUAGAAUCUAGACCGUCGUUCCUACGCGUAUAGACCCAAAUUAAAAAAUUCCUUGGUAUUAUAUGUGUGAUCUCCUAGUAUCAUGCUUAUAGAAUUGAAGACUUAAAAUUAUUCUAAGUGUCAAAAAGACACUUAGUCUCAUUUUUUACUUCCAAUCUUUGAGGAUUUUAUUUUCGACCUUCCCGACCCUCAAUAGUCGUUAUGUUGGCUAGUUCAUGAUCCGGGAGGUUAAUAGGUGUUCCCGAACGAGUUUUGGAUUUUUCAGAACGUGUUUAGACCUUGUUUGGUGUUCCAAAACAGUGGACCAACGUGAUCUUUACGAGCCGCGUUGCCCAUCGCUUUGGUCAGUUUUUGUGCAAGAAAGUACUGAGGCUCGACGCGAUGGUGGCGCGACGCAUCAAGUAUCGCGUCGAUGCCCUGACGCGCCUCGUUGCCUGCAGCGUCGAUGCCCAGUUUUCAAUUUUAAACUAUCCGCGUCCUAGAGGGUAAAUUAGUCAUUUUCCCCAUCUCUUUUCAGCCCUAACACGGGAUUUAUGUAAUGCCCCGCAAAAUCCUCUUCCAGUUAGAGCCUUAAGCAUAUUUGGUAAAGCGAAAUUCCGAGUCAAAAUUUUUAAGAAAUAUCCUCCCAAGUAUAAAAUACUUUGAAAUCGUUUGGGAAUCUAUUUGAGCAUGAAUUAAGAUCAUAGAGGUCCCCUAACUCAGGAACGAGUUAAAAACUUUCCUAUCGUUUAAGUUUUAGUGACCGUAAAAAUUUGGGUCAACUUCAAUCGACCAUAACUCGUUGUAUAUGAAGAAAUGGGUGGCUUUCUAUACAUCAAAUGAAAGAUCUUUGAAUUAUCUUUCCAACGAUACCAAUUUCGUCAAAAACCGAUAUUGGAGCAAAGAGUUAUGCCCAUUUUAUUCCAGAAUGUCAAGCUGGAAAACAGUCACGACGUUUCUGACGGGCUAUCACGUUUUUGACGACGUUUUUGACGACGUCGUCGCAUUCUGACGACAUCAUCGGCCCUGGGUAGAAAAUCAAGAAUUGGAGCCCUUUUUGUGACGACCAUUCGUGACGUCCUAUCACGGACCUGACGGCCUGUCACGGAUGGCGUCAAGAACAUUUUUCCAGCAAUUCAAGGGCGUUUUUGCAAGGGUAUUUUGGUCAUAUCCCACCUUUUUUUAGCCUCUAUAAAUAUGAGAAACCACAUUCAAACCCUAAAUUCAUCAUUUUUCUCUUCCAAUUCUCUCAAGAAUAUUUAUCUUGGGUUUUAUCAAGAAUCUUAAUCCUCCAAAAAUCAUCCAUAAAUCUUCAAGAUUUCUUCAAGAACUAAGUUCCUCAUAGUGUGGGCUUGGAGAAUCAUUUAUUACAAGUGGGGAUAGAGUCUCAAAUAUUAGAAUUCAUCCAAUUUCAAAGGUUAAGGUAUGUAGAUGUUGAUUCUUGGGUCCCUUUCAUCCAAGAAGCUCAAUAACCCUUUUUAAAACUAAUUUUUUUUUUAUGUUUAUGAGUUGUUAAUGAUUUGUAUGAUUUGAAAUGGAUGUUUAAUGUGUUGUUGAGUUUUGAUUUAUGUUUGCCUACAAAAUUUAUGACUUUUGACCCUAGUAUGUGGAAUUCAUGUGAUGUUUGUGAUAGACCCUCUUGAAGUUGUUUUUCCAUGUGAUGUGUUCGUGACUUUUGGGUGUAGAAAUGGUUGAAUAAGUGAAGAACGUUCCCCAUAGAUUUGAUAAAGUGCUUAGGUGAAGCAUAAGGGCCACUAUAGUAUGUUGAAUAGGAAACCCCAAAUUGUGAGCUAGUCCAUGCAUGCCUAGUGUUUGAUAAAAUGCCUUAGUGAGUGAAAUGUGUCAAGAUAGCAUGAAAUUCCCAAGUAGGUGUAACAUCGGUCAUGUCUAGUGGUUGUUGAAAGACCCUAGUGAACAAUUCGAGAUAUGAUGGUUGUAAAUUCCCCCAAUUAUGUGCUCUUGAUAUAUGUUAAGCUUUUAAUACAUGCCAAGUGGUUAGCAAGUAAGUUAUGACGUGAUAGUAUGAAGUCUCCCCAAGCCAUGGGAUAUCCAAACACAUGUCAAGAUCGAUAUAGGUAUGAAAUAGCUGAGGUAAAACCUUGUUGAAGAGAGUAAAAUCUAGUAGCAUGUUUCCCCUACGUUAUUAUAUGAUUAUGAUUCCAAGAUGCUUAAAGUAACUCCUUGGCAACUGUGAUUAUGAAUAGACAUUUGAUAUCCUUAAAUGCUUGAGGUGAUGAUUAAUGAUUGUGGAAGUGAACAUAUCGCUUGAUUCUUGAAUUACUUGUGAAGAUGCUUGAAUGAUUUUGAUGAUGCAUGAAUGCUUGUGAUGAUGAAUGAAUGAUGAUGCUUACUUUUAUGCUAUCGAGUCCUGGGGGUAUUUAUACCCGAAAAUAGAGCUGUUGUCUAGAGCCCGUGUCAAUUUCUCGAUAAUUCCAGUUGAGCCAUGAUUCUCAGAACUCAGUGAACUAUAGAACUCUAUAUCCUAAGACAAGUGCAGAACUUAAUAAAGCUCAGUAAUCUCAGAAAUCUCUAUAAUCUCUGUAAUGCUAGUAAUCUAGCCUUAGUCCUGUAAUCAGCUCAGAUCUAAUAGUAUUCAAGGGAUUCAAUUCUAAUCUCAGAAGUGAUUUGAUUAAUCUAUUCAAGCUCUGUAUCGUCAGUCAGAUACUAUGAUUCGAUGUCUUUUCCGUCAGAUACGGAACUAAGUAAUCUCAACGUAACUCAGUUAGAUAUUUUGAGAAACAUGAUCAGUAUCAGAUUCAGUUUAGUUGUGCUCAGUUAAGAAUUCAGUCAGUCUUUCCGUUGGGAGUAGAAACUAGCACCGAGCAAGCUCAAGGAUGGGAACUCACCUACUAGUAGAGGGUAUGAUUUUUAGAUGCAAUCUUUGUGCUCCAGAACUACGUAGCCAGCAUAAGUUUAGCAUCAUACCUACUAGUUGAGGGUAGAUGAGAGACAUCAUACCUGUUAGAUGAGGGUAGAUGAUAAGCUAUUGAAUAAACCAUUGGGGAUAUUUCAUGAUAAGCUAUUGCUUGUAAAUGCAAUGACUUUAAUUCUUGAAAUAUUGAAAAUUGUGAAUGGUAUAGAACCCGUAAGUUGAUUAUCUUGUAUGGAUAGAACUUUCAUGCUAUGAAGGUUGCCGAUCCCUUCUGGAAUGUUUUCUUGAAGUGACUUAUAAGAUAUCUCCAAAGUCUCCAACCUUGAGGCAUUCUAGAGUGACGUAGGAAUAAACCCUAUGAGCUUGUUACCCUUCAAGUUUAAUACUCUAAGGUUUAUAAGACUUCCAAUCUCUUUUGUUAUUUGACCCUCUAUGUGGACAUAUUAGAAAAUGAAAAGGGAUGGAACUAGUGAAACUGUUAUCUCCAAGAUUUAGAAUUUGAAGUUGGUGUAAAAUCCCAAACCAAGACAGAACCUCCCCACUGAAGUUGUUGAAACUUAAAUCAAGAAGCUUAAGCUGAUGCAAACGUGUCAUUUCCUGAGGCAAAUUUCCAUCGAAAUUGUUGCUUGCCAAGUCAAUAGAAGCAAAAAAUGUGAGGUUUCCAAAAUCACGGGGAAUCUUACCUAUAAGAGCCAUGUUGAAAAGAUUCAAGGACUUCACUCGCUGGUGGCGGGAGCCACAAGUGACUCCGACCCAAUGACAAACAUAUGUAGUUGGAGACUAGCUUUCAUUCAAAAAGUGAAAGGGGUCAGAAAUGAUUUGAAGUUAUAAAAAAAGAAGAGCUAAUUGAUCAGUGGUAGUGUUGGUUUGGGUCAUAGCUGAACUAACCAUAACAUAGAGAAGCAACAAGAGAAAAGAGGUGAAUAUUUUCUCCAUAAUUGCAUAAAUUAGUAGGAAAAUGGUAUGGCUAGUAACCUGUGGUAUUUGAGACUUUAUAUAGUGAUAAUUUUUAAGAAAUUCUUUUUUUGGAUACUUUUAUUUUAAAUGAUUUUUUGAAUAUUGUUCCCCAACUUAAUUUAUAUUAGGAAAAAGGCUCAAAUAUGCCACUGGACUAUUAGAAAUGGCUUAUUUAUGCCAUCAGUUAAAAGUUGAGCUCAUUUAUGUCAUCGCCGUUACAAAACCAGCACAUCCAUGCCAUUACUUUUUAACGGUGAUUUCCAAAAAUAACUUUUCCAUGUGGCCUUUUAUUAGAGGUCCACAUCAUUAAUUUAAAUAAGCAAAAAGACUCAAAUAUGCCAUUAAACUUUCAAAAAUGGCUCAUUUAUGCCAUCAGUUAAAAGUUUAUCUCAUUCAUGCCAUCACCGUUAUAAAAUCAACUCUCUCAUGCCAUUACUUUUUAAUGAUGGGUUUUUAAAAAUAGCUUUGAACGUGGUUUUUUAUUAGAAGUGCACGCCAUUAAUUAAAAGAAAUCAAUAUUAAUUUCAAAAUAUCUGAAAUAAGUUAGUAUCGAGAUUAUUUGUUCCAGCAUGUAUACCAUAAUGAUGGGAGAAGUAUCCCAUAUACAUGGCGGGAUAAUUGGAAUAGCAGACUUCUUUUAAGCCGUUAUUUGAAAAUAAUUUUUCAACAAUGUAUGCUCCACUAAUUCGUGAUGGGAGAAGUUAUUCCAUAUGCAUGGCAGGAUAAUUGGGAUAACAGACUUCUUUUAAGUCGUUAUUUGGAAAUGAUUUUUUCAAUAAUGUAUACUCCCCUAAUUCGUGAUGGGAGAAUGAAGAAGUUCUAUUGGUACACCUUUUUCUUUUUCUUGCUUGCCGUAGUCGUUCAUUGGUUUAUUUUCUUGAAAUUUUAGAGUAUAUAUUGGAGUCAUUGGAAUUAAAACUAAUUAGUUACUGUAGGAUAGAAUUUUUUAGGUUUCUGUUAAGUGUACACUUAUAAUGAUUUAGAAUCAACUAGAAAUAGCCAAAGUAUAUACAUUAAUCACUAUUUUUUAUUAGAAAAAUAGUUGUUGUUGUAGGAAAAAAAAUAUUUUAAUGGGUAUGGGUCGGGUUAUGUUAAAUGAAUCGGUUGUUUUUAAUGGAUCUAAGAUAUUUUGAAAUUAAUAUUUUUUUAUUUUAAUUAAUGUCACAGACCUCUAAUAAAAGACCAAAUGACAAAACUGUUUUUGAACCCACCACUAAAAAGUAAUGACAUGGGUGAGCCAAUUUUAUAACGGCGAUGACAUAUAAGCUGAACUUUUUACUGAUGGAAAAAAUGAGCCAUUUCUGAUAGUUUAAUGGCAUAUUUGAGCCUUUUUUCUUAUUUUAAUUAAUGACAUGGACAUUUAAUAAAAGGCCACGUGGCAAAGCUAUUUUGAAAAUCAACGUUAAAAAUUAAUAGAAUGGAUGAGCUGAUUUUGUAACGGUGAUGGCAUGAAUGAGCCAAACUUUUAACUUAUGGCAUAAAUGAUCCAUUUCUGAUAGUUCAAUGGCAUAUUUGAGCCUUUUUCCAUGUAUUUUCUAGCUUAGGUAGGGCCCAAGGACUUAACCAUUUAAAACAACCAAAUCAACUAAGUCUUGCAAACCGUGAUUGUUUGUUAACAUGUUUUACACAAAUUCAUCGGAAAGCAAGUAAAGCUGUCAAUAAAAAUGUAACACUGGACCUUGUGAGAAGCAGAGAGUCAUAACUUGAAUUUAUGGGUUAAAAUUCUAAAAUAGCCAGAUGUGUUAGGUGUUGAUAACCUUGUUCUGAAUUUAAAUUUGUACAUAUUUUGUUAAUAUUUUUAGUAAAAAUAUUGAUAUUUGGACUAAAGCUAUUGAGUUCAGUCUAACUCUCAGAAAACCUUCUACCUCCAUUCAGUACAUACUAAAGUGUGGGCACAAAUGUGAGUUUUGCUUGUGUGGGCACAUCAAGAAUUCAACUUGUUGAUAUUCUUGUGGUGUGUGUCUCACAUUUUUGAAAAUUAGAAUGCAAUAGUCCAUGAGUUCAAACCACAAAAAAGAGGGCUCUAUUUUAUUAAUAUCACAAUUUUCUUGCAAGGUGAUGUCAACAUUUUUUUUUUUUGAGUAGAGCAUCUAGCACCCUGAACUAUGAUUAAAUUUGCUACGACACACUCCAACUUCAUAGGGGUCCUAUUACCACCUGAACUAAAUUUUAGCACCCUGAACUAUGAUCAAAUUAUUUGAUCGUUUUCUCCCACCAAAUAACACAUAGAACAGAACAUCCCUCAUAUUCCAGACACUCGUAUUAUUUCUAUAUAUUUAGCAAUGUACAGACAUUCUCAGCAUAGCUAAAAUAUAAUUCUGAUAGAUACCACUUAGACGGGGAAAAUUGUUUAAGCAACCUUGUUGGACUCAGCUAUAUAAAUCCUCCACAUUCCAAUCAAAUAAUGGAAAAUUGCCAUUUAUUAUUGCGAACUAAAUAAGGACCAAGAAAACAUGUUGGUCCAAACACUGAGACUACAUAGGUCAAGGAAUAAAUUUUAAAGGGAGGUUUAGGCAAUCCGUGGCACGUAAAUACUUCCAACAAUUAAUCGUGGCUAUUGAUUUCUCUCAUAGCUAAGGUGUCUAUCAUCGCAACCUGAAAACUAAAAAUAUAAUCCUGGAUGAAACUGAAAACCUAAAGGUCUUCGAUUUUGGCCCGAAUGCUCUUUAUGAGACCAAAAGACAAGACGGACUCCUCCACACGACAUGUGGAACUCCAGCAUAGUCGCCCUGAUUUUCUUACUAUAUUUAAGUUUUACUUUUUCUUAGAAGGAAAAUAAAAGUUACCAUAAUUACUUUUACUUUUCCUGAAAGAAAAAAAUAUAAUUCUUUUCCAUAUUUGGCUAACCUCUUUCUUGGAGGAAAGGUUUUGGACAUCUAUAAAUAGAAGACCCCCUUCUCAUUCCAUAACACAAUAGCAUCCAUAAUGUAGUCUUUUAAGAGUUUUAUUUAAGGGGAGAUUUUAUCUCUAAUUAGUUUUAUGUUUUUUAAUAUUAAGUUUUAUAUGUAGGCCAAUUGGACAAAUCAUAUAAUAAAAUUAUGUUUUUAGUAUAGUUUUUUGUUGUCAUCUUAUUUAUCGUCUCAUAGUUUGCAACUAAUAGCUUCCGCCUGAUGCCCGCCCUCUCGAUUUCGAACCCAAUAAGUGGUAUCAAAUCUUACGGUUCAAUGGUCCAAUGGUGUGGUGAGACGAGAUUAAACAGGUUCAAAGCGGUUUCAAAAUCAAGUUGUAACCAAUUUGAUGAUAAUAAAGAUAUAUCUCCAAAAGCUACAUGUGGAGAUAAUUGUCAAUCAUAUUUUCAACAAUCCUGCUGUCACAUAUUUGAAAAUAAAGCUCACUUUUAACCCUACAAAAGGGCUCCAAUAUUUUUAACCCGAAAAGGGCUAAUAUAUUUUUUAACCCCAAAAGCUUCAUUUUUAAACAUGCUAAAUAACAGUGAUAUAUGAAGAAUAUAUAUGUAGAACAAAGAUCAUGCACAAGAAGAAGGAGGAUCAAGAAUAUUUUGAAGAAAAUCAAGCAAAAAAGGGGAGAUUGGUUAGGGUUUUUGCUCUUAUUUUUUUACUGUAUUUAAGUUUUACUUUUUCUUAGAAGGAAGAAAAUAAAAGUUACCAUAAUUACUUUUACUUUUCCUGAAAGAAAAAAAUAUAAUUCUUUUUCAUAUUUGGCUAACCUCUUUCUUGGAGGAAAGGUUUUGGAUAUCUAUAAAUAGAGAACCUCCUUCUCAUACCAUAACACAAUAGCAUCCACACUGUAGUCUUUUAAGAGUUUCGUUUAGGGGGAGAUUUUCUCUCUCAUUAGUUUUAUGCUUUUUAAUAUUAUUUUUAAUAUUAGGUUUUAUAUGUAGGCCAAUUGGCCAAAUCAUAUAAUAAAAUUAUGUUUUUAGUAUUAUUUUUCGUUGUCAUUUUAUUUAUCGUCUCAUAGUUUGCAACUAAUAACUUCCGCAUGACGCCCUCUCGAUUUCAAACCCAACAGACCCGAGCCUAGACCCUGGUUGCGAUGGGAAUCCCGAGCCACGUUGGCCUGAGAGGCCCCAUAACAUGCUAUCAUGACCAUAAUUUAUAUGAAAUAAAGGUGCGGAAGAUAAAACUGAAAUCCAAGUUGAUCUUAUAAUCAAAAUAUGUCAAUGAAGUUAUGACAAUACAAUACUCAAAUUCCAUCCACGAAGCCUCUACUGAAAACUAACUGUCUAGCCUGUUCAAGGUCCCCGGAUGAACCAUAAACUGAAAGAAGUUAACCUAUGAACAAAUGCCUUCUGAAAGAUGGAUGGCUCACCAACUCUGUCAUUAUGCCAAAUGUUCUACUGAUGUGAUGGACCAUGGUACUAUAACUCAGAACCUAUAAUAUGGGGGGUCAAUACUUGGAGAGUAUUGGUAUGUAGAACAAUCCAAAAAAAGACAUAUAUUUCGUAUAAUAUAAUUGAGAUCAUUGUGAAAACAGUUUAGCAUAAUAUAUAAAUAUAAAAACACAUAGGCAUAAUAUAAAAGCUUCAAUUCAUGCUUGUAAAACAUUGACUCGGCUCUUUAAUUUACUUCUGAGAUAGAUGGUACAACCUACAUUUCUAAAAUUCCACGGGCUAUACAAAAUCUGCCCUUAACUCGGUGGCCAAGCCCCCUAAUCCAAGUUUGCCGUAAGGAUUGGGGUCUUAUAGUCUAUUCUAGUAUAUCAGUGCCUCAGAGGGAAGUACACAUUGCACAUUGUCAAUCAUGUCUCCCAAAUCAGUAAAAAUUGGUUUCCAGCAAUGAGCCCUUACACUCAAAUUCCUUCUUCGAGUAACUUUCUAAGCAGUUUUAGUUCUUUAAGAUAAUGCUUUAUGCUCAAAAAUUUCAUUCACUUUCGUGACAAGGGCAUUUCAUAAUAGGUAUCGUCAUACCAACACUUGCAAGUCAUACUAUAUCAUAUCAAAACCAUAGCCCUUCUCAUUCAAAAUCAUGCAAAUGACCAUCAAACUAUUUAUAAAAUCACCUGAGCAUUCUUAUUUUCAAAAGCAUAUGAACCUUAUGCAAACACACUCUCUUUUCAAGACUUUAACACAUGGUGGUAAAUUCUUUCAUUAAUCACAUGCAGUUUUCUAAGGGAAAAUUUUGCAUGGGUUUAUGAUGAUUGGGUGCAAAUUCUAGUCAUCAAAUAUAUGGUAAGAUGGCUAGGUUGAAGAUUCUUGAGGCUAGUUUGUCAAUAAAGCCUCAAGAUUAUCACCCAUGGACCCUUUUGGGUACCUUAUGAGUGUGGCAAUCAAAACCACCUAAUACCUCAAUUGGGCAUCCCUAUUUCUAGGAAGAUGCCCAUGACCUAGCUAAUUCUCAACUCACCCUUAUUGUCAACUAUUGCCUUGUCACCCAUAUACCUCUUUCAAGGAUGAUAUAGGAUCCAAAAGUUCACCCACAUCCCUCUUUCAAGGAUGAUGUGAGAUUUUAAGAACUUGGGAUUUUCACCCGGCCCACAAAUCCAUUUUGGGCAUUUGGGAUUUUCACCCACAAAUUCCAACUAAGUCAAGAAAGCAAUAGUAAAACCCAUCAUCAAGAACCUAGAAUCUACACAAAUACAUCACAACCCACACAUAUUUGCACCUUAUUUCAACAUAAUCCCAAAAUAAAAAAAUUUAGCUACUCAUGAAGUUAGAGAGAAAAUAUAUACCAAAGGGUUCAUUCAAUGCAUCAAUGGUGAUUGAAAGUAAGAAAAUUCUCCAAUUAAACUUCAAUUUCACUAAACUCAAAUUGAAAAUUCAAAAACAAUAGUUUUUCCCAAUUAGUAGGGUUAAAAUUCUUAAAAUUCAAUUGUUUAAAGUCUAGAAUGACAAAAUGGGAAAAGGUUUUUUCCUUAUGAGGAAUUUGGCAUCGGCUAUAUAAAAUUAUAGAAUUUUCCCUGGGCAAUAGCCCAUAAUGCCGCGAUCGCUGCAGCAUGUCCACGAUCGUGGCCACUACUUCCACCAUCAGAUCCUCGUGAUCAUUGGAAGAUGACCAAAGUUGACUUUCCACGGUCGUGGCUCUCAGACCGUGAUCACGGUAACUGAGUCGUGUUUCUGUGCAGGGUCUUCCAGCUAUGCACUUCUCUUUUUGAUUCCUUUUCAGCUUAAAUCCACAUCUUUCUUUCUCAUUACCUGUAUACCUGCAAAAUGUUGAAAUUAGUGUAUUAAACUAACAAAUUUGUCUCAUUCAUACCUUCAAAUCAUAGUAGCGUGCACGAAUUUGGACAUAAGUGAGUGGUAAAUUUACAACUCAUCAACAACAUAGUUGAUAGCUUAUCACUAAGCUGAUGGCUUAUCAACCUAGUCAUCACCUUUCCUAAGUGAUGUAGGAUAUUUUCUGGUUAAGGAUGAUGGAGAGUUUGAUAUAUCAUCACUUAGUUGGUGUCUUAUAACUCAAGUCAUCACCUUGUUGACAGACGGACACUCUGAAGUAAAAUGAGCUUAACUUCCUACUCCGAUAUCGGAUUAAGGUGAAAUCUUAUUCGUUGGAAAGAAAAGUUGAAAUUUAGCAUGUCACGUAAUUCAUUAUAUUAUAGAAGUAACGAACAUUUGAAUUUUACCCAAGUAAGGAUGUCCGCUAAAACCCAUCGAUAGAAAAGUCCUCCACUCAUCUUUGAGUUAGAAGAUUUUUAUGAUCUCACUCGACCUCCAAAGAUGUUACCAUACUUUAGAUUUGAUCAUCACACUUAUAUUGAAAUAGAAUCAUUGGUUUCAGGUCUAUAGGUUCAAAUUCUAGCCCGAAAAUAUGGGGUAUUACAGUACGAUGGUGAAAAGGAGGAUAUUUUGUCAUGUGGGUUCAUUUUGGUUGUCUUGUUAGCUGCUUAUCUUCAAUUCCAUGAUGCAAAUUUAAUUGUAAUGUACAAGAAAAUUACUAAAGGGGAUUUCAAAUGUCCUGAAUAUUUCCCUUCUGUAGCGACAAAACUUCUUUCAAGAAUUCUUGAUCCAAAUCCAUUUUCAAGAAUCACAUUAGCUAAACCAAUGAACAAUAAUUGGUUCAAGAAAGGAUUCAAACAAAUUGAUAAACCACCAAUUUUGGAGCAAGAACAGGACAAAUCGCCUUGUAGUGUUUUCAAUAUUGUGGAUGAUUCAGAUGUAGAAAGCUCUUCAGGACACAAAGAGCAAAGUUCAUCAACAAUGAAGCCUACUUGUUUGAAUGCUUUUGAUAUCAUUUCUCUUUCUCCUGCUUUUGAUCUCUGUAGCUUGUUCGAGAAAGAUAAGAGCUGUAGAUCGGAUGCUAGAUUCACGACACAAAAUUCAGCAUCCACUAUCGUCUCGAGGCUACAGGAAGUAGCUUCGAUGAGAAGUUUUAAGGUACACUAUCGGAAUUGUAUGAUGAUCAUCUCAGUUUAAGUCUUAAACUGUUAGGGAGAACACACUUCAUUUACUUGAUUAUUAUUCGACAUGUCCAAUCAUUGUCGUAUAUGAGCUGGUCUAAUUCUUUAUUUUUUAUUAUCCUAGCACAUAAAAUUCAUUUAUAUGUGGUCUCAUACUAUGUUGAUAUUGUGCAAUACAUAAGUCGGAAAUAUCACUAAGAUAGUCCAACGGUUAAUUUCACAAUGUAUAAUUUCUGCUUCACUUGCGGGUUCACCUCAUCUAAAAGUUUAAUAUGAGCACCUUUACCUUAUGUGACUUUGCCUUUGUGACCAUCGUAGCUAAAUUUGAACAAGUAGACAUAAUUUACAUGACAUUCUACGUGUAUUCUGCGUGUGUCUAUGAGCAAACUUUAUUUACGCUAGCUUUCCACAGGUGAAGAAGAAAAACAGGACGGUGAAAAUGCAAAGAAGCAAGGAAGGGAGAAAAGGGAAACUAGCAAUUGAUGCAGAGAUAUUUGAGAUUACGCUAGCUUUCCAUGUUGUAGAAGUGAAAAAGAAAUCAGGACGUACUGCAGAAUACAGGAAGUUUUGUGAUCAAGGCUUAAAGCCUUCAUUAAAUGAUAGAGUUUGGACAUGGAAGGGCAAUGAGCAAUAACAUGUGGAAAAUCAAAACUUAGAGGCAAGAAUGUGAAAACAAAAAGAGCUGUGGGGAAGGAAUUAACAUUUUUCUAUUCUUAAUUGGUUGAUUUGGAAAAUCUUGAAGAAUGGAGGUUGAUUUUGUACUGUAUUGAAAGAAGAGAAAUUUAGGAACUUAAUUAUCUUUCUUCUUCAUUUGUCAUAUUCAAGUGAUGGAAUCGGUCACUUAUAUUUGUGUCAGGCAAGUUGCCCGCAUUACAACCCUUAGGUGUGACACUUGUCUAUAUCUUGGGUAAUGCAAGCAGGGGCGGACCUACAUAUAUUUUCGGGGUGCUCCGGCACCCAGUAAACUCGACACAGAAUAGGUAUAAUUACAUAAAAAAUAUACAAAAAUAGCUAUAAAACAUAUAAAAGCACCCACUGAAACAAAUGUUGAUUGGGUGCACUAGCAUUUAAGUUGAUCUUAAGCUUCUCCACUGAAGGGAUGUCCCGAGUUCGAACCUUGUUAAGGAGAUUUUUUAUUUUUUUUCAGCUUUUUAAUUUUUUAAGCAGCCACAAUCUUUAAAUCCCACGUCCGCCACUGAAUGCAAGGUACUUCGUGCACCGAGCUACCCUUUUUGUCAUAGCUCUUUUUGUUUGUCGUCUUGAUGUUAUAUGUCAUCAGUGUUUCCCAUGUAAAACAUUUACUGUAUUAAUUGUUAUUUGUAUUCAUGUUAAUUCCUCUAACAAUUUUUAAAAAAAUAUUCUGCUUGAGAUUUUCAAAAGGAUUAAUUUGGUCUUUGUAAUUCAAUUUAUAGUUACAAGUUCCAUCAUUUUGCAACAUUAAUAUUAAGAGGAAAUCAAGUGCUAAAACAAAACCAAAAAAAAAAGAAAUAUUUACAUGAAUCCACUAAUGUAGCAAAUAUUUGCAACAAACAAGUCACCUGAAACGAUGAGAGAUUCCAAGAACAUGCUUAGCAUGCAAGAAGUUGAAUCUUGAUCUUUUGUAGCGUCCCUACAACGUCUUUCAUGUUUGUCCUUCCUGUCGGAGAUUCAACACAACAAUCUAAUGCCACUUUCAUUAUUGAUGCCACAACAUCAAUCUCCUUCUGUAAGCGAUUGCCACUUGAUGUUAGCAAGUUGGCAUCUACGAUGUCCAUUACUGCCUCUUGAAGUGAACAACUCACCCAUAGCUUCAAGCUAAGAUCACCCUCAAACUGGUUAGGCUUUCUCCUGGUAAAUGUUUCUAGCAACAUGAUCCCGUAGAUAUAGACAUCACACUUUGUUGAUACCAAACCAUCCUGUCCAUACUCUACAGUCAAACAAUUAAUAUAAAGAUGUAAUAUACAUUCCACUUGGGAAAAAAGAGAGGAAAAAUCAACAAAACUAAGAGGCGUAUCUGGUGCAAUAUACCCCAAUGUUGCUAUAGUUUUAGUGUAUAAAUCACUCUCAUCGUCACCAAGCACUUUUGAAAUGCCAAAGUCACUUAGGUGGGUAACCAUAUCCUCAUCCAGCAAGACAUUACAAGGCUUCAGAUCACAAUGAAUCACAGGUGACGAGCACCCACGGUGAAGAUAUUCUAAUGCACAUGCAGCAUCUAUCAUUAUGCUUAGUCUCUGCUUGAUGUCGAGGAAGUAGUUGUGCGAAUACAAAAACUUGUCAAGACUACCAUUAGGCAUAUACUCCAACACUAAAGCCUUAAAAUAAACGUUGGAACAACAAGUGAUGACUUUUACGAGAUUCCUAUGGAGAAGGUUGCGCAGAACUUCACAUUCCGUAUCAAAGCUCUUGAAUGCCUCAUCCACUUGUAGAUUGAACACUUUAACUGCAAUGGCAGUUUCACUUCUGAGAAUGCCUUUGUAAACAGAGCCAAAACUUCCAGAACCAACCAGAUUACUCUCGCGAAGCACAUCAGUUGCUUGGAGCUAUUCAUAGUAUGAAAUUGUUUCUCUUGUUAUGGAAACCAAUGAAUCAGUUUGUUGAGGAUCUCUUUUGCGUCUUUUGUACCUUAUCCAUACACACACUAAGAUGAAAGGUGAAAAUAGAAGUGUGAUUCCCAGCAAAAGAUAUAGAACUAGAAAUUUUUUCCUGUUUCAUUUGUGCUUUGAUGAAGUGGGGCACGGCGGGACACUAAAUCCUGAAGAACCACCCAAUGCUUCAUUGUAGAUGAAAAACUGCCUCGAGAGGUUCUUGAAAGGACCCCUCGAGGGUAUUUCACCAAAAAACUUGUUGACAGAAACAUUGAAAUACUUCAGGUUUUGAAGUUUCUCUAAAGACUUGGGAAUGGUUCUGUCACGGCCCGAGACGGGACCCUAGCCGUGACGAACAUCCCGAACUAUGAAGGCUCGGAUGCCCUUCUCUAUCUGAUAAUCAUGCAUAAUAUUCAUACAAUAAUAGAAGAUGCGGAAAACGUAAAUCAAUAUGGAACUAUAGCCAUACUUUGUGUUCAAAAAUAAUAAAGAAGACUGCAAGUCAACAACAUCUAGAUAAUCUUUGACUCAGUCUGCGAAAUCUUUACUACAUACGAAAACUGGGAUAAGGCCCCCAGCGGACCAAAACCAACAUAAAUAAUAAAAGUCUGAAAGACAUAGGCCUUCCGGAAUAAAGAAAGCUCCCCAACUGCAAAAUUCACUUCAAUUUGGAAACUCUACGGCUUCGCAUGACCUCUAGACUGAGCCUCAGAUCCUGAAAGGUAGGGGUCAAUACAAUUGUACUGGUACACAGAGCAAAUCCAAAAUAAUAAUUUUUAUUUAACAUAAGUAAGAGCAAUUUGAAAACAGUUCAUAAACAUAACAUAUGAUGAAAAAAUACAUGGGCAUAUUUAAAAGACUAUGAACAAUCAUCUGAAAACUCUGUGACUAACUCUUUAUUUUACUUCUGUGCUAGGUGGUAUACGCUACAACUUUGAAAUUCCAUGGGCUAUAUGGAAUCUGCCCUUAACUCGGCAGCCAAGCCCAACCCAAGUUUGCCGCAAGAGUUGGAGUCUCUGUCUCUAUAUGUCACAGGGCACUAGGCCAGUGUGUAAUCCCUCUUGGGGAAAUAAUGAACCCGUAUUAGCAAAACACGGUUUUGGUCUAAGAGUUAUUUGAACUCAAGCCUUCUUCGAGUAACCACCUAACCCUCUUUAAGCCCAUUUUUAACUCUUUAAAACGUGCAUUCUCUGAAAUCAAACUCUAAAAACGCUUACUCUGUUAUGGCAUACACUCAUAUGGUAUCGCCAUACCAUUGACUUGCAAGUCACAUCUCUGAGCCAUUAUUAGCAUAUUAAAAUAUCUACAUUUAAAACAUAAGUUUGGGACCACCAUAUCAAUAAAUCAGUUCAAAGAACGCUUUCUUUAAAUUCAUGUAAACACAUAAAAGGAACUUUCACUUUGUCAACAUUUCAAUAACAUAAGGUGGUCAUGUCAAUUUACUCAACAACAUGCAAUUCACUCUUUUAAACAAUCAUAUAGGUAUAACAAAAAAUUCUCUCUCAUCAUCUCUAAAUUAUGUCAAAUACUUGGAUAUUGAAAAAACCACUUUUAAAUCAUAAAACAUGUAUUUCAAAUCAUUCUCAAUAAGUUCAUAAACUCUAAUUCAUCAAAAGAGAGGGAUUUCAAUAAUAAUUCUCUCAAUCAAAUCUUCAAUUUCAUAAAUAUAAAUAUAGGUAUAAAUCAAUUUAAGGGAAAAGACCACAAGGCCAAAACAAUUCUACCAUUAAAAGGUUCUAAUGCAUAACUUAAAACAUAGGAUCCAAAACCCCUUUAUAAAUUCAUGCUUGAUAACCUUAAAUCAUAUUCAAGAGAUUCAACAAGCUCUUGUAGUUUUAGGAUGAACCCCACGUACCUUAAUUGCGAAGAAUUCAUGAAGAAGUUUCGAAAAGAUUGGACCUUUAAGCUUGAUUGCUCAAACCCUAGUUGUUUUCUCCUCUUGUGUUCUUGAAGGAUGAACUAGGGAUCUUAGGAGGGUUUUGACAUUUAUAAUAAGCCUAAAUUCGUUUAAGGAUGAUUAGAGACGAUUUUGGGAUGUGAAAGGACUUAGUUUCUCUUAAAAUGACUAAAAAAUAUGAAUUUAUGUCGUUGUUAGGCCAUAAGGUAUACACCACAUUGCCCAUCCCGUCAGUUACGCUGGGCAGAACCUAACUUAUGGUAUAAGCUAGGUUGGGAGGAACCUAACUUAUGGCAUAACCAUUCCAGUGGACUUAGGCGAUUUGUUAGGCGACACACUCCACUUUGCAAAGUCAUAACUUUUUGCUCGGUUAUCGAAUUUAGGUGAAAUUGGUAUCGUUGGAAAGCUACUUCGAAGACCUUUCAUUUGAUAAAUAGUAGGACCUAUAAUUUGUUAUAUAUAAAAAUUUAUUAUCGAUGGAAGUUUACCCAAGUUUAAACAUCCACUAAAACUUAAUCGCUAGAAAUGUUUUCAACUCGUCGUAGAGUUAGGAGAUUUUUGUGACCUCAAUUCAUAUUCAAAGGUAUUACCACAUUAUAGGAUUGAUAACCACACAUAUAUUAAUAUGAAAUAAUCUAGUUCGGGUCUAUACGUGUAGGAACGACGUUCUAGAUUCUAGCCCAGAAGUACGGGGCAUUACAGGCUCCUGAUAUAUUAUUAUGAGAAAGGUCUAGGAAUAGGUCUUUCAAUGUUUUUUAACAUAGAACCUAUGUUUGGUGGGAGGCUUCCUGAUAGAUUGUUGUAUGAAAGAUCAAUUUCUCUCAGCCCGGAUAUGUUGAAGAUCUCCAUAUAAAGUGAACCACUAAAACUAUUGGUCGAAAGAUCAAGUAGCUCCAACUCAACAACAUUGCUUAUCUCUUUGGGUAUUUCACCUGUCAACACAUGAAGAAAGAAUAAAUACAAGUGAAAUGAAAUAGUUAGCUUAUCUCAUUUAGUGUUUCUUGUCACACUUUCUAAGAUUUAUUGGUAAUUGUUACAUUUUAUUACCCAUUACAUGCAUAUAUUCAUAGAAAUUUAAUAGUUCUAAUGGAUAUAUAAAAAUUAACAUGCGACACAUGUCCAUUGCACGCGUAUAUAGAGAGAGACACCAUUUGAAUAUAUAUGUACCUAUAAGCAUAUUCCCACUAAUCUGUAGAUGUUGCAUCUUGGUUAAGUUGCCAAUCGCCAGUGGUAAGUAUCCACGAAGAUUGUUCUGCCACGCUGAAAAAAUUUGCAGCAAUGAGAUAUUGUCACGAUCCGAACCUAGGCCCAGGCCGUGACGAGCAAACUGAACCAUGAAGGCCCGGACGCCCAUCUAACUUGUAACUCAUACACCAUUCAUAUACAGAAAAGAAAUGCGGAAAUAUAACUGAAUAAGGGAUGUUGGUCAUGCUCUGAAAAAAACAUAAUGUUAAAGACUGCAAUUCGACAACAUUAAAAUAAUAUCUGAUUCAGCCUGCGAAAUCUCUACUACAUAAGAACAAAGCUGUCUGAAAAUUGGGAUAAGGCCCCCAGUAGACCAAAACCAUAAUAACGAUAAAUGAAUGAAGGAAAUUAGGCCUUCUGAAAUAUGGAAGGCUCACCAACUGAACUAUGCACUUUAGUCUUAAGAAGUCUACUGCUUAUCCGGACCCCUAGAUUAUGCCUCGGAACCUAAGAGGUAGCGGGUCAAUACAGUUGUACAGGUAUGCAGAGGAAAACCAAAAUAGUAAUUGGUAUUCAACAUAUAUGAGAGCAAUUUAAAACAAUUCAUAAAUAUAUCAUAAGGUAAAAUCACAUGGGCAUAUUUAAAAGACUCUAUAAAAUCAUCUGAACUAUGUGACACUUUGUUUUACUUCUGCGCUAGGUGGUAUACCCUACAAUUCUGUAAUUCUACGGGCUAUAUGAAAUAUGCCCUUAACUCAGUAGCCAAGCCCCCAACCCAAGUUUGCCGCAAGGGUCAGAGUCUCUAAAUCUUUACUACGCCACAGGUCCCGUCGCUAGCGUACAAAAGUAACAUACCCAUAUUGGCAAAAUACGGAUUUAGGCUAUCAUUCGAUUGACUCAUGCCCUCUUCAGGUAACCACCUAACCCUAUUUAAGCCCAUUUUUUAUUAUUUACAACAUGCAAAAUCUGAAAUAAAGUUUUGAAGACUCUAAUUUUGCUAUGGCAUAUAUUUAAAUGGUAUCGUCAUACCAUUGACUUGCAAGUCAUAUUCUCUGAGCUAUUUGUAGCAAUUUAUGUCUCUAUUCUCAAAUCAUGGGAUUCAGGACCACAAUAUCAACAAUUCUUUUCAAGAAACUUAGUCUUUAAAACUCAUGUAAAACCAUGCAAGCAAUUCUCUUUAUCAAUAAUUCAAUAAACAAAGGUGGUCAUGUCAAAAUUCUUAAUUUAAUGAAAUUAUUUCUCUUUAACACAAAACAUAGUGAUAUUAAGAAGCAUCCUCUCAUCAUCUCUAAAACAUGCAUUGAAACUCUUUUUCGACAAAACCAUAAACUUUAAUUCAAUACAAGAGAGGGAGUUCAUAAUUUGCGCUCUCAAACAAUCUUCAAUCUUAAUUUUCAUACAUAGACAUAUACAUGUAAAUCAAUUUAGGGGAAAGGACUACAAGGCCAAAGAAAUAGUAACAUUGAAACAUUCGGAAUACAUAAUUUAAAACAUGGAUUCCAAAACCCUUUUAAAAUUCAUGCUUAAUAUUCUUAAAAUCAUGCUCUAGUGUUUUCAAGCCCAUGUAGUUUUUAGGAUAAACCUCACGUACCUUAGACUAUGAGAGUUGAAAGAUGGAACCUAGAUCUUGAUAGAUGGAACCUAGAUCUUGACCCUUUUCUUGGAGUCUUGAACUUAAGAUCUUGAUUCUUGAUCUUGAGGGAAAGGAUUUAGGGUUUUAAUUUGAGAGGAAAAAUUGAAUUAUGGAGUGCAUUCUGCUUCUGGGGUGUGAAUCUUAUGUUAUGGACAGACCUUGGGUGAGGUAAAGGUCCAAAUUGCCCUUAAAAACUGUAAAACAAAACCUGAAAUUUAGGUACGUGCGACGGAGCGUGCGUCGCACGCUAAUCGCGCGCAGCUACGAUCUCUCUCACGAAAAUGGCUGUAACUUUUUGCUCGGGUAUCGAAUUUUGGUGAAAUUGGUAUUGUUGAAAAGCUACUUCGCAGACCUUUCAUUUGAUAUAUAAUAGACCAUUUAAUUUGAUAUAUACAAGAAGUUAUGGUCAAUGGAAGUUGACCUAAGUUUAAACGUCCACUGAAACUUAAUCGCUAGAAAUGUUUUCAACUCGUCUUAGAGUUAGGGAAUUUUUGUGACCUUAAUUCAUAUUUAAGGGUAUUCCCGCACUAUAGUUUGAUAACCACACAUAUAUUAACAAGGAAUUAUCUAGGUUGGAUCUAUACGCAUAGGAAUAACGGUCUAGAUUCUAGCCCAAAAGUACGGGGUGUUACAUUAUCUCCCUGUUGGGAUCAUUCAUCCCUGAAUGAUAACGCGGAACAUAGACAAGCACGAUUACAAUCAUACUAAGGAUAUGGAAAGAAUAAAAACAAAGAUUGUACCUUCCGCUUCUUCAUCCGCCGGAUCAAAAAGGUUUGGGUAUCUUUUUCGCAUGUCAUCUUCUAAUUCCCAAGUAGCUUCUUUAACUUUUUAGUUUUUCCACAAAACUUUAACCGAUGCUAUCUCUUUGCUUCUCAACUUUAGAAUUUGGCGAUCUAAGAUUGCAAUCGGCUCUUCUUCAUAGGAUAAGGUGUCUGUCACUUUAAUUUUCUCUACAGACAACACUAAAGAAUGGUCUCUAAUACAUUUCUUCAACAUGGAUCUAUGAAAUACCGGAUGAACAGAACCAAAACUUGCAAGAAACUCUAACUCAUACGCAACCCCACCUAUUCUUCUCAAAAUCUAAUAUGGCCCUAUAUAGCGAGGACUCAGCUUACCUUUCUUUAUGAAGCGCAUGACUCCCUUCAUAGGGGAAACUUUGAGAAAUGCCCAAUCACCAAUCCCAAAUUCCAAAUCUCUUCUCCUAACAUCGAUGUAGGACUUUUGAUGGCUCUGAGAUAUCUUGAGUAGUUCUAUAAUGAUUCUCACAUCCUCCAUCGCCUGAUGAACAAGAUCAUGCCCAAACAACCACGUCUUCCCUAUUUCAUACCACCCUAUUGGUGACCUACAUCUCCUAUCAUACAAUUCCUCAAAAGUAGCCAUCUUAAUACUGGCGUGGUAGCUAUUAUUAUAUGCAAACUCUAUCAAUGGCAAGUGAUCUACCCAGCUACCUUUGAAGUCAAUUGCACAGGCUCUCAACAUAUCCUCAAGGGUCUGAAUGGUAUGCUAGGCUUGCCCAUCGGUCUGAAGGUGAAACGCAGUACUUAGGUUCACUUGGGUACCUAAACCCCUAUGAAAAGAACUCCAAAACUGUGAAGAGAAUUGCAUACCUUGGUCAAAUAUGAUGGAUACAGGUGCCCCAUGUAGGCGAAUUAUCUCCUCAAUGUACAACUUGGCAUAGUCAUCUACCGAAUAAUUAGUCCUUACAGGCAAAGAGUGAGCUGACUUGGUCAGACGGUCAACAAUCUCCCAGAUAGAAUCAUACUGUUUUGGGACCUCGAAAACUUCGUAAUGAAGUCCAUAUUGAUCAUCUCCCACUUCCACAAAGGCAAAGAUAUCUCUUGGGAAGUACCACCUGGCCUUAUAUGCUCUACUUUAACUUGUUGGCAGUUCAAACACUUAGAAACAUAGUUAGCCACAUCACGCUUCAUAUUAUUCCACCAAUAUAUAGCCUUUAGAUCAUGAUACAUCUUAGUAGAGUCGGGGUGAACAACAUACCUCGAAGUGUGAGCUUCAUCAAGGAUUCUUUUCCGCAGACUAUCUCCAUCUGGCACACAUAAUCCACCCUGAUAUCUCAGAAUACCAUCACCACCAAUUUCAAAGGACAUCACCUUCUAUUGACCCAUAUCUUUCUUGAUCUGCAUCAAGAUGGGAUCUUCAACCUGCUUCUCCUUAACUUCUGCACAAAGGGAAUAUUUAUCUAUUUCAUGGACAAUCACUCCUCCAUCUUCAAAAUCCAAGAGUCGCACCUCUAGAUUUGCAAGUCGGUGAAUAUCCUUCACCAUCUCCCUCUUCCCUUUCUCAACAAGAGGAAGACUGCCCAUAGAUAACCUACUGAGUGUGUCGGCUACCACAUUCACCUUUCCCAGAUGACAUUUCAAGCUCAUGUCAUAAUCCUUCAAAAUCUCCAACCAACGUCUCUGCCUGAGGUUCUAUUCUUUCUGCGAGAAAACAUACUAUAAACUCAUGUGGCUAGUAAAUAUAUCAACAUGCAUCUUACAAAGUUAAUGCCACCAGAUUUUAAGCGCAAACACCACAGCCUCUAACUCCAAGUCAUGGGUGUGGUAAUAGCGCUCAUGCACUUUUAACUGCAUAGAUGCAUAAGCCACCACCUUACCAUGCUGCAUUAUUAAGACCAAAGUCCCACACAGGACGCAUCACAGUACACAACAAAACCCUCUGUACCUUCCGAAAGGGUCAAAACAGGAGCAGUUGUCAACUUAUCUUUCAACUUCUCAAAACUAUUCUCACAGGAGUCAAGCCACACAAACUUCACCUUCUUUUGUGUUAACUUAGUAAAUGGAGCAGCUAUGUAAGAAAAAGUCUCUACGAACCUUCUGUAAUACCCUGGCAAACCCAAGAAGCUCUGAAUAUUGGUUGGAGUCGAGGGUCUGGGCAAUUUUCUCACUACCUCAACCUCUUAGGGAUCAACCUUAAUUCCCUCACUAGACACAAUAUGCCCCAAGAAUGUAAUAGCAUUUAACCAGAGUUCACACUUGCAAAAUCUUACAUAUAACUUAUGAUCUUUGAGAGUCUAAAGAAUGAUUCGGAGGUGAUUGGCAUGGUCCUCCUCACUCUUGGAAUAAAUAAGAAUAUCAUCAAUGAAAACUAUAACCAACAGAUCUAAAAACUGACAAAAGAUCCAUGAAGGUUGCAGGGGCGUUAGUCAAGGACAUGACUAUGAAUUCAUAAUGCCUAUAGCAGGUUCAGAAAGCUGUUUUGCGAAUAUCUGACUCUAACCUUCAACUGAUGAUAUCCCGAACGAAGGUCUAUCUUUGUAAAACAUCUAGCCCGCUGAAGCUGGUAAAAAAGAUCAUCAAUUCUAGGAAUAGGAUAUUUAUUUUUAAUAGUGACCUUAUUCAGCAGUCUAUACACAUACACAGGGAACCAUUUUUAUUUUGCAUAAAGAGUACAGGUGCACCCCAGGGAAAGACACUAGGAUGGAUAAAAACUUUGUCUAGAAGGUUUACUAACUAUUCUUUCAACUCUUUCAGUUCUGCAAAAGCCAUUCUAUAUGGCGGAAUAUAGAUGGGAUGGGUGUCUAGCAGUAAGUCAAUACCCAUAUCUAUCUCCCUAUCAGGUGGUAUUCCUGGGAGAUCACCCGAAAAGACUUUGGGAAAUUCAUUUACCACAGGGACUGACUGAAGAGAAGGACUCUCAACAUUAGAAUCCUUUACCCAAAUUAGAUGAUAUAGACAACCUCUAGAAAUGAGCUUACGGUCUCUAACAUAAGAUAUAAAGUUCCCUCUAAGUGCUAAAGAAUGUCCCUCCCACUCUAUCGCCGAUUCAUUCGGGAAGGAAAAACUGACUCUUCGGGUUCUACAAUCUAGUAUAGCAUAGGACGAAUGGAGCCAGUCCAUCCCUAAGAUAGCAUCGAAGUGAACCAUCUCAAGAUCUGUGAGGUCUCCCAUCGUAUCCCAACUAUAAACAGACACAACACAAUUUCUGUACACCCUCCUAGCCAUAAAAAAAUCUCCCACAUAAGUGAAAACAGAGAAAGGUUAAGUAAUCACAACAGACUCAAACCCAAAACCACAGCCACAUAAGGGGUCACAUAAGAUAGGGUAGACCCGGGAUCAAGUAACACAUGCAUAUCACGAGAGAAAAUCUGUAACGUACCUAUGACAAUAUCUAAGGAAGCUUCUGCAUCCUGGCGGUUGUUCAAAGCAUACAACCAGUUGCAAUCGCUCUCGGCAGCUGAAGUGGCACCCUUCUAAGAUGGCGGUGGCGUAGAAGAAUUAUUCUGUGAAUUGGCUCCCCCAACAUUACCUCUCGCUACCAGAUAAUCCCUUCGGAUAUAGCCUGGCUGGCUGCACGAAUAACAUACCAUCGCGCCAAAUUGGUAUCUCCUUGGAUGAUUUCUCCCAUAUCUCCCACGACACGAGUAUGACCGAGAGGUAUGAGCUACACUCUCCUGAGACUGCGCACGCUGCACUCUUAGCCCAUAACUAGACUGAAAAUUUUAGGGUCGCUGGUCGGAUGGGGGUAUGGACACCAAAGUACUGACUGCGGACUGUGCAUUAACCCAAUUCUUUUUAUUCUUCUAUCUAUUACCCCAAUUACCACUUUGUGGCUGACUCUGACCCUGGACUAUAGUCCUGGCUCUCAUUGCUUGCCUAUCCUUCUCCCUAGAUUCAGCGAUUCUCUUUUUCUUCUCUUUCACCUACUGCUUGUGGACUGUCAGUCUAGAGAAGUCCAUAUCCCUAUUUAGCAUUUCCCUCUUGCAGUCGAGCACUAAGUCAUCAAAAAGGUCGGAUGCAAAUUUUCUUAUUCGGGCUCUUAUAUUACCAGUCAUCUCCGGAGAAUAACGGGCUAGUUGGUUGAACUUCAAAGUGUACUCCUUAAAACUCAUUUUCCCCUACUUUAGAUUCAUAAACUUUUUAUCUUUGGCCUCUCUCAAAUCUAGAGUAAAGAACCGAUCAAGGAAGGCUUCCACGAACUCGCCCCAUACUGUGGGCUCAGCAUUCUCACCCUUUGAAUCAUUCCACUCACUAUAUCACUGAUUCGUAACUUUUUUAAGCUGAUAAGCUGCCAAUUCCACCCCUUCCACCUCAUUUACAUACAUCACUCUAAAAAUCUUCUCCAUUUUAUCCACAAACUCCUGUGGAUCUUUCUCUACCUUGGUGCUGGAAAACUUGGGCGGGUUCAUUCUUAUAAACCGACCCACCCUAGUAGCCUCAGGUAUAACAGAUGCAGACUUAACCUCUUUCGAUCAUUGAGUUUGUGUGUCCACCUACUGCACAAGUAUAUGAAUGGACUAUGUAAUUCUGGAUUAGAUACCUCUCUUUCAUAAGGCUGAGUACGGUUAGUCCCCAUCCGAAGAGCUCGAGGUGCCCUGUGUGGGAAGGUCUAAGUAGGUGGGACUCCUGGAGUAACAACAGCCUUCAGAGUUUGAGCUCUGUUUUAUUUUUCAUCCCAUGAGUGCGACUGAUCUCAUCAGUCUGGCAUUUUGAUCGAUAACGUGACGUGAAGGCAUGGCUAUUUUCUGAAAUGCAAGAAAUCAUUAAUUUGAGGAUAGAUUAGACUCCAAAGCAUGAAUUAAAUCACAAAAAGGGAAAACAUUUCUAAAUGCCUAGUAGUCUCUUGCUUAUAAGUGUGGUGCGCUACAUACCCAUAAAUAAAACUCAACCCAAUGCAAUUUUGCAGACACCCUGGGACUAUGAACCGUGCUCGGAUACCAAAUUUGUCAUAACCCGAAUAUAGGCCCUGGCUAUAAUGAGCAAACCGAACCAUGAAAGUCCGGACAGCCAUCUAACUUGUAAUCACAUACACCAUUCAUAUACAGAAAGGAAAUGUGGAAAUAUAACUGAAUAAGGGGUCAUGGUCAUGCUCUGAAAACAACAUAGUGUUAAAGAAUGCAAUUCAACAACGUUAAAAUAAUAUCUGACUCAGUUUGCAUAAUCUCUACUACAUAAGAACAAAGCUGUCUGAAAACUGGGACAAGGCCCCCAGUAGACCAAAACCAUAAUAAUGAUAAAUUACUGAAUGAAAUUAGGCCUUCGUAAAUAUGUAAGGCUCGCCAACUGAACUCUGCACUUCGGUCUGAAGAAGUCUACUGCUUAUCCGGACCCCAAGAUUGUGCCUCAGAACCUGAGAGGUAGGGGUUAAUAAAAUGGUACUGGUACAUAGAGGAAAUCCAAAAUAGUAAUUGGUAUUCAACAUAAAUGAGAAAAAUUUAAAACAAUUCAUAAAUAUAUCAUACGGUAAAAUCACAUGGGCAUAUUUAAAAGACUCUGUAAAAUCAUCUGAACUCUGUGACACUCUUUGUUUUACGUCUGCGCUAGGUGGUAUACCCUACAAUUUUGUAAUUCCAUGGGCUAUAUGGAAGUUUCCCUUACCUCGGCAACCAAGCCCCCAACCCAAGUUUGUCGUAAGGGUCGGAGUCUCUGAAUCUCUACUACGCCACAGGGCCGUCGCCAGUGUACAAAAGUAACAUACCCGUAUUGGUAAAAUACAAUUUUAGUCUAUGAGUCAAUUGACCCGUUCCCUCUUUGGGUAACCACCUAACCCUAUUUAAGCUCAUUUUUAAUUCUUUACAACAUCCAAACUUUGAAAUCAAGUUUUGAAGACUUUAGUUUUUCUAUGGCAUAUAUUUUUAUGGUAUUGUCAUACCAUUGAAUUGCAAGUCACAUUCUCUGAGCCAUUUAUAGAAACUUAUGUCUCUAUUCUCAAAUCAUGGAAUUCAGGACCACCAUAUCAAUAAUUCUCUUCAAGAAACUCAGUCUUUAAAACUCAUGUAAAACCAUGCAAGCAAUUCUCUUUAUCAAAAAUUCAACAAAGAAAGGUGGUUAUGUCAAAAUUCAUAAUUUCAUGCAAUUCUUUCUCUUUAACACAAAACAUGGUUAUAUGAAGAAACACCCUCUCGUCAUCUCUAAAUCAUGUUCAAAUACUAUGACAUUGAGAAAACUACUUUCAAUCAUAAAAUCUGCAUUUUAACUCUUUUCCGACAAAACCAUAAACUUCAAUUAAAUACAAGAGAGAGAGUUCAUAAUUUGUGCUCUCAAACAAUCUUCAAUCUCAAUUUUCAUACAUAUACAUGUAAAUCAAUUUAGGGGAAAGGACCACAAGGACAAAGCAAUAGUAACAUUGAAAUAUUCGAAAUACUUAAUUUAAAACGUAGAUUCCAAAACCCUUUUAAAAUUCAUUCUUAAUAAUCUUAAAAUCAUGCUCUAGUGUUUUCAAGCCCAUGUAGUGUUUAGGAUAAACCCCACAAACCCUAGACUAUAAGAGUUAGAAGAUGGAACCUAUAUCUUAAUAGAUGGAGCCCGGGUCUUGACCCUUUUCUUGGAGUCUUGAACUUAAGAUCUUGAUUCUUGAUCUUGAGGGAAAGGGCGUAGGUUUUUAAUUUGAAAGGAAAAAUUGAAUUAUGGUGUGUACUCUGCUAUUGGGGCGUGAAUCUUAUGUUAUGGAAAGACCUUGGGUGAGGUAAAGGUCCAAGUUUCCCUUUAAAAUGCAAAAACAGAACCUGAAAAUUAGGUGUGUACGACGGAGGGUACGUCGCACACUAAUCGCGUGCAGCUACUGCCUCUCUCACAAAAAUAGCUAUAACUUUUUGCUCUGGUAUCAGAUUUUGGAGCAAUUGGUAUCGUUGGAAAGAUACUUUGAAUACCUUUAAUUUGAUAUAUAUUAGGUUCUUUAAUUUGAUACAUAAAAGAAGUUAUGGUCGAUGGAAGUUGACCUAAGUUUAAACGUCCACUGAAACUUAAUCGCUAGAAAUGUUUUAAACUCGUCGUAGAGUUAGGGGAUUUUUAUGACCUCAAUUCAUAUUAAAGGAUUUUUCCACACUAUAGGAUUGAUAACCAUGCAUAUAUUAACAAGGUAUUAUAUAUGCGUAUCAACGACGGUCUAGAUUCUAGCCCGAAAGUACGAGGUGUUACAAAUAUUGAAUAUGGAAUUCGGGACAGAGCCGAUAAUCUGGUUACUCUCCAUGGCUAACUCCACCAAAUUAACAAGAUUUUCAAUUUCUUGUGGAAUUAUAUCUGCAUUUAAUGUGUAAUAAAAUAAAAUUCUGAAGUAAUAAGAUACAAUAGUGCUACUAUUCUUAAGAUGAAACGUACCAGAGAAUUGAUUGGUUCCGAGUUUUAAUAUAUGCAAGUUACUCAAUCUUCCACUUUCAAUAUGUAUUGGUCCAUCAAACUCAUUUUUCAAUAAAGACAAAAUUUGAAGUUGAGAACAACUUGAUAAGCUUUUAGGCAUAUGACCUCGAAGCUUGUUUGUGGAUAAAUAAAGCCCUAUGAUUAUAGGGAUACCAUUCCAAAAACCAUUGAUAAGAUGUCCUGAUAAUCUAAUUGAUCAUUUGUUGUGUUGGUUUUGGUCAUGUCUGAACCAGCCAUAACAUAGUGAAGCAAUAAGUGUAAUGCACCGAAGUUUUUCUUAGCUAAAUUUUGUCCCUAAAACAUCAAGCAUUGGCUUCUAGAAUGAUUUAUACUUAUUUACCUAUGGAGUCCCUUAGAUUUCAAAUUUUCAUUACGUAGAUGACUGGAUAAGCUUUCCGUCGAUAUAAGAUUCGUCCACAACGGAUACUGAAGAACUUAUGGCUAUUUUAUGUGCUAGUCGUAAAACAUCGUCAUUCUGGUAUUUAGCACGUCCCGGAGAGGGUUUAAUUAGCAAUUGUCAAAUUCCAGUGGGACCUCACGAUAGUGGCGCAUCGUAGAGGAUCCCAAUUUCCCAUUCGUCAAUUUCCCCUGAGCCACCGCGAUAGUGGCGCAUCGCGGUGGCCCAUAAAAUCGGGUUCCUAGUUUAAUUUUUUCCAGCUUCGUUCAAAAGUUAACAAGGGUAAUUUGGACUUUUUUAGAGCCUCUUAAAAUGUCCAAACAGUAGAUUAAGACCUCUACAAUCAAAAUAUAUGACAUUCUCAAGAUUUUCCUCAAAACAGAAACCCUAGUUCAUAUACUUCUCCUCGAAGAAACUCAAGAUUCAAUCGUGGGUUUUCAAAUUGACUAAAGAUUUGGAAUUCUCAAACCGUAGGCUUAAAGGAUCAUCCCUUAUUCUUCGUAAUCAAGGUAAGUGGGGUUUAUCCUAAAAACUACAAGGGCUUGAAAUUGUUAAAGCAUCAUUUAAAGGUUUUGAUGCAUGUAUUUUAUGGUGUUUUUGAAAACUAUAUUACUGAUUAUGCAUUUUGAAAAUUUCAAUGCUACUAUUGCUUUGGCCUUGUGGUAUUUUUCCAUAAAUUGAUUUACAUAUAUAUGUAUAUAUAUGAAUUUGAGAUUUAAGAUUGUUGAGAGCAUAAAUUAUGAACUCCCUCUCUUGUAUUGAAUUAAAGAUUAUGAUUUUGUGAUUUGAAACAUGUUUUUGCAAUAUCCUGGCAUUUGAACAUGAUUUGAAAUUGUUGAGAGGGUGUUUCUUGAUAUCAAUAUGUUCUUAUGUGUAUGAGAAAGAAUUGCAUGUGUUUAUAUGAGGUUUGAAUUAAGAAAGAUUCAUUGAAUUGAGUUAUUGAAAUGCUGGUCUCAAAACUUAUGUUUUGAAUACAGAGAUUUAUGAUAGACUAAUAAUGGCUUAAAGAUGUGACUUGCAAGUAAAUGGUAUGACGAUACCAUAUGUAUUUAUGUCAUAACAGAUUAUGUUUUCAGAGCAUAUUUUUAGAGUAUGUUUUCAGAGACUGUAUAUUUUGUUAGAGUUUUAAAAAGUGGCUUAAAGAGGGUUAAGAGGUUACCCAAAGAAGGCGAAAGUUCAAACAACUCUUAGCCUAAAACUGUAUUUGCCAAUACGGGUAGAUUAAUACUGUAUGCUAGCGAUGGCAAUGUGGCGUAGUAGAUUCAGAGACUCCGACCCUUGCGGCACACUUGGGUUGGGGGCUUCACUGCCGAGUUAAUGGAAGCUUCUAUAUAGCCCAUGGAAUUUUUCAGAGUUUUAGGAUAUACCACCUAGCGCAGAAGUAACACAGAUUUCUCAGAACUGAGAUGAUUUUUACAGAGUCUUUAAAAUGUCUAUGUGAAUUCUUACUACAUGAUAUACUUAUGAACUAUUUUAAAUUGCUCUCAUAUAUGUUUAUUUAUAAAUGAUUAUUUUGGAUAUGAUCUGCUUACCAGUAAAUCUGUAUUGAACCCCUCCCUCCUACCUCUUAGGUUCUGAGACUUAGUUUAGGGGUCCAGAUAAGUAGUAGAUAAUUUAGACAGCUGAUUAGAUUGUGCAGUGGUGAGCCUUCUCUAUUCUAGAAGGCAUGUCUUCUCAGAUUAUGUCACUUAUUUCAGUUUUGGUCUACUGGGGGCCUUAUUCCAGUUUCAGACAGUUGACAAAUUUCAUGUAGUAGAGAUUUCGCAGACUGAGUCAGACAUUAUUUAGAUGUAUUUGAUUUACAGUUUCCAUACUUAUGUUGAAUUCAGAGUUGACCAUCUUUCCAUAGCAGAUUAUGUUUCUGCAUCUUCUUUAUUAUAUGAAUGUUGUGCAUGAUUACCAGAUAGAGAAGGACGUUCUGGGCCUUCAUGGUUUAGGAUGCCCGUCAUGGCUAGGCCCUAGUUCGGGCCGUGACAAACUUGGUAUCAGAGCAUGGUUCAUGGUCCCAGGGUUUCUACAAAAUUGCAUCGGGUAGAGUCUUGUUUAUGGGUGUGUAGCGCUCCAUACUUAUAAGCAGAAGGCUACUAGGCAUUUAAACAUGUUCCUCUUCUUUGUGAUUUAGUUCGUGCUUCAGAGUCUAAUCUGUCCCCUAAUCAAUGACCUUUUGCUUUUUAUAAAACCAGUGAUGCCUCCUCGUCGCACCAAUGGUAAUGCUCAGGAUAAUGAAUUCCAUCCCACCUAUGGGAUGUGGACUCGUAAUAGAGCUCAUACCGUAGAACUUGUUCCUACUUCGGUAGUACCUUCUAUACCGACCAGUCUUCCCAGAACUCCUCAAACGGGGGCCAAUCGCACUCAGCCUUGUGAAGGAGAGGUUUAUAAUGCUAAAUUCAGAUAAUUUAUUCAUGUACUUGCAGAUCUGGUAGCCGUACAGACUCAGAGGUCAGAGGAUACUGGGUCUGUGUUUGUUACUUCUGAAGUUACUAAAGUGGGCCAAUUCACAAGAUGAACCCGCCCAAUUUCUCUGGCGCUAAGGUAGAAGAGGACCCGUAGGAGUUCGUAGACGAAAUGAAGAAGAUUUUUAAAGUAAUGCAUGUUGAUCAGGUAGAGGGUGUUGAUCUAAUAGCAUACUAGCUAAAGGAUGUAGCGAACCAAUGGCACAAUGAGUGGGAAGAUACGAAGGGUGACAGUGCUGAGCCCACAGUUUGGGACGAGUUUGUGGAAGCUUUUCUUGACAGAUUCUUUCCUCUGGAGCUGAGAAAAACUAAAGCAGAGGAAUUCUUGAACCUUAAGCAGGGUAAGAUGAGUGUUCAGGAGUAUACUUUAAAGUUUAACCAGCUGUCCCGUUAUGCUCCUGAGAUGACGAGUAGUAUGAGGGCCCGAAUGAUGAAGUUUGCUUUCGGCCUUUCAGAUGAUCUGGUUCUUGAGUGUCAGGGAGCUAUGCUGAAUAGAGAUAUGGACUUUGCUAGACUGUCAGUCCAUAUGAAGCAAGUUGAGGAGAAGAAGAAGAAGAUAGCCGAAUCUAGGGAAAAUGACAGGUAGGCAAAGAGAGCCAGAGCGACAGACCAGAGUCAUAGUCAGCAGUAGAGCAGUAAUUGGGGUGGAAAAUGGUAAAAGAAAAAGAAUUAGGGUAAUGCACAGUCGGAAGCUAGUGCUCCAGUGUCCAAACCCACAGCUGAGCAGCGUACCCAGAAUUUUUAGCCUAGUCAGGGGUGAGGAUACAGGGUACACAUUCACAGGGAAGUAUAGCCCAGACCUCUCAGUCUUAUCCGCUCUAUGGGAGAUGCAAGAUAAAUAAAACAGAGAGAUGUCAGUUUGGCAUUUUGGUGUGUUAUUCAUACGUCCAGCCAGGCCAUAUCCAGAGAUACUGUCCGGCAGCAAAGAGUAAUGUUGGAGGAGCCAAGUCGCAGGUGAAUUCAUCUGCACCACCACCUUAGAAGGGUGCCAUUUCAGCCACCAAAAACGGUUGGAACCGGUUGUAUGCUUUGACCAACCGCCAGGAGACAGAGUCCUCACCAGAUGUAGUCACCGGCACGUUACAAAUCUUUUCUAGUGAUGUGUAUGUAUUACUUGAUCCCGGGUUUACCUUGUUUUAUGUGACCCCAUACGUGGCUAUUGGUUUUGGGUUUAAACCUAAGGUGAUUGCUAAACCUUUUUUGAUUUACAACCCAAUUGGAGAUUCUGUAGUAGCUAGGAGGGUGUAUAAAAAUUAUGUUGUGUCUAUUUUCAGCUGGAAUACUGAGGCAGAUCUCAUCGAACUUGAUAUGGUUAAUUUUGAUGCCAUCUUAGGGAUGGACUGGCUCCAUUCGUGCUAUGCCACCUUGAAUUGUAGGACCCGAAGAGUCACCUUUGCUUUUUCGAAUGAGUCGGUGAUAGAAUGGGAGGGACAUUCUCUAGCACGUAGAGGCCAUUUCAUAUCUUAUCUCAGGGCCUGUAAACUUAUUUCCAAAGGUUGCUUGUAUUAUCUUAUUCGGGUUAAAAAUUUUAGUGCCGAAAGUAUCCCUCUUCAGUCUGUCCCCAUAGUGAAUAAAUUCCCAGAAGUCUUUCUAGAUGAUCUCCCAAAAAUACCACCUGAUAGGGAGAUAGAUUUUGGUAUUGAUUUAUUUCCAUAUCCCAUCAUAUUUCUAUUUUGCCAUAUAGGAUGGCUCCUGCAGAGCUAAAAGAGUUGAAAGAAUAACUAGCAGAUCUUCUAAAUAAAGGUUUUAUCCGCACCAGUGUGUCUUCCUAGGGUGCACCUGUACUUUUCGUGUGAAAGAAAGAUGAUUCCCUUCAUAUGUGCAUAGAUUACCGCCAGUUGAAUAAGGUCACGAUUAAAAAUAAAUAUCCCCUUCCUAGGAUUGAUGAUCUUUUUUAUCAACUUCAGGGUGCUAAAUGUUUUUCAAAGAUAGACCUUCAUUUAGGAUAUCACCAGUUGAAAGUUAGAGAGUUAGAUAUUCCAAAAAUAGGUUUCCAAACUAGAUACGACCAUUAUGAAUUCUUAGUCAUUUCCUUCGGGUUGACUAACGCCCCUACAGCUUUUAUGGACCUAAUAAAUAAGGUUUUUCGUCAGUUUCUGGAUUUGUUUGUCAUUGUAUUCAUUGAUGACAUUUUGGUAUAUUCUAAGAGCGAGGAAGACCAUUCCAAUCACCUCUGAAUCAUCCUUCAGACCCUUAAAGAUCAUAAAUUGUAUGAAAAAAUUUCCAAGUGUGAAUUCUGGUUGAAUGCUAUUGCGUUCUUGGGGCAUAUCGUGUCUAGUGAAGGGAUUAAGGUUGAUCCCCAAAAGUUUGAGGUAGUGAGAAAAUUGUCCAGACCCACGACUCCAAUCGACAUUCGAAGCUUCUUGAGUUCGGCGGGUUAUUACAGAAGAUUCGUCGAGAGUUUUUCUUCCAUAGCUAUACCACUUACUAAGUUGACUCAUAAAAAGGUGAAGUUUUUGUGGUCUAACUCUUAUGAGAAUAGUUUUGAGAAGUUGAAAGACAAGUUGACUACUGCUUCUAUUCUGACUCUUCCGGAUGGUACAGAAGGUUUUAUUAUAUAUUGUGAUGUGUCCUAAGUGGGACUUGGGUGUGUUAUUAUGCAUCACGGUAAGGUAGUGGCUUAUGCAUCUACGCAUUUGAAGGUGCAUGAGCAGAACUACCCUACUCAUGAUUUGGAGUUAGCAGUUGUGGUUUUUGCACUUAAGAUCUGGCGGCACUAUUUGUAUGGGGUACAUGUUGAUAUAUUUACUGACCACAAGAGUUUAUAGUAUGUUUUCUCGCAGAAAGAAUUGAAUCUCAGGCAGAGGCGAUGGUUGGAAAUUUAAAAGACUAUGACAUGAACCUGCCCUAUCAUCCGGGAAAGGCGAAUGUGGUAGCUGAUGCCCUCAGCAGGUUAUCUAUGGGCAAUCUUUCUUAUAUGGGGAAAGAAAAGAGGGAGAUAGUAAAGGAUAUUCACCGACAGGCAAAUCUAGGAGUGUGACUUUUGGAUUCCAAGGAUGGAGGAGUGGUUAUUUCUGAGAUAUUUAAAUCUUCCCUUUGUUCAGAAGUUAAAGAGAAGCAGGUUGAAGAUCCCAUCUUGAUACAGAUCAAGAAAGAUUUGGGUCAAUAAAAGGUAUUGUCUUUUGAAAUUGGUGGUGAUGGUGUUAUGAGAUACCAGGGUAGGUUGUGUGUGCUAGAUGUAGAUGGUCUGAGGAAGAGAAUCUUUGACGAAGUUCACACGACGAGGUAUGUUGUUCACCAUAGAUCUACUAGGAUGUAUCAGGAUUUGAAAACCAUUUAUUGGUGGAAUAAUAUGAAGAGUACUGUGGCUAACUAUGUUACCAAGUGUUUGAAUUGUCAACAAGUUAAAGUGGAACAUUUAAUGCCAGAUGGUUCUUCUCAAGAGAUAGCAUUGCCUUUGUGGAAAUGGGAGAUGAUUAAUAUGGACUUCAUUACAGGACUUCCAAGGUCCCGAAACCAGUAUGAUUCUAUUUAGGUGAUUGUAGAUAGGUUGACCAAGUCAGCUCACUUUCUACCUGUCAGGACAAAUUAUUCAGGAGAGGUUAUGCCAAGCUGUUCAUUACAGAAAUAGUUCGUUUGCAUGGGGAACCUGUGUCCAUCAUAUAUGAUAGAGGUACACAGUUUUCUUCAUAUUUUUGGAGAUUGUUUCAAAAGGGUUUAGGUACCUAAGUGAAUUUGAGCACGGCUUCCCACCCUUAGAUAGAUGGGCAAGCUGAGCGCACCAUCUAGACCCUUGGGGAUAUGUUGAGGGCCCGCGUGAUUAAUUUUAAAGGUAGUUGGGUAGAAAACUUUCCAUUGAUAGAGUUCACAUAUAAUAAUAGUUUCUAUUCCAGUAUUAAGAUGGCACCAUUUUAGGCAUUGUAUGGGAGAAGAUGUAGGUCACCAGUAGGGUGGUAUGAAUCGGUGAGACACAGAUAUUUGGGCCUGAUCUAGUUCAUCAGGCAAUAGAGGAUGUAAAAGUCAUUAGAGAAUAACUUAAGACAGCUCAGAGUUGUCAGAAUUCCUACGUUGAUGUUAGGAAAAGAGAUCUAGAGUUUGAGGUUAAAGAUUGGGUGUUUCUCAAGGUUUCUCCCAUGAAGAGAGUCAUGCGGUUUGGGAAGAAAGUUAAGUUGAGUCCUCGCUAUAUAGGACCAUAUCAGAUUGUGAUAAGGAUAGGUGGAGUUUCACAUGAUCUAGAAUUUCCAGUUAGUUUGGGUUUGGUUCAUCCGGUAUUUCAUAUAUCUAUGUUGAAGAAGUUUAUUGGAGACCAUUCUUUAGUAUUGCCUAUCGAAGAAAUCAAAGUGACAGACUCCUCAUCCUAUAAAGAAGAGCCUGUAGAGAUUUUGGAUUACCAAUUUAUAAUAUCGAGGAACAAAGAGAUAGCCUCAGUUAAAGUGUUGUGAAGAAACCAAAAAAUUGAAGAAGCGACUUGGGAAUCAGAAGUUGACAUGAGAGCUAGAUACCCAAACCUUUUUGAUCCAAUGGAUGACGAAAUGGAAGGUACAAUCCUUGCCUUAUUCUUUCUGUUCCUUAGUAUUCUUUAAAUCAUACUUGUCUGUAUCCCGCGUCAACAUUCGGGGAUGAAUUUUCCUAAGGGGGGACAUUGUAACACCCCAAAGUUUUUCUUAACUAAAUUUUUUCCCUAAAAUAUCAAGCAUUAGCUUCUAGAAUUAUUUAUACUUAUUUUACUAUGGAAUCCCUUAGAUUUCAACUUUUCAUUACGUAGAUGACUGAAAAAGCUUUUCGUUGUUAUAAGAUUCAUCCACAACGGACACUCGGUGAAGAAGUUAUGACUAUUUUAUGUGCUAGUCGUAAAACAUCGUCAUUCUGGUAUUUAGCACAUCGCAGAGAGGGUUUAAUUAGAAAUUUUCGAAUUCCAGUGGGACCUCGCAAUAGUGGCACAUCGUGGAGGAUCCUAAUUUCUCAUUCGUCAAUUUCCAGUGAGCCACCGCGAUAUUGGCGCGUCGCGGUGGCCCAUAAAAUUGGGUUCCCAGUUUAAUUUUUUUCAGCUUCAUUCAAAAGUUAACAAGGGUAAUUUGGACUUUUUUCAAGCCUCUUAAAAUGUCCAAACAAUAGAUUAAGAUCUGUACAAGAAGAAUAUAUGACAUUCUUAAGAUUUUCCUCAAAACAAAAACCCUAGUUCACAUACUUCUCCUCUAAGAAAGUCAAGAUUCAAUCGUGGGUUUUCAAAAUUGACUGAAGAUUUGGAAUCCUCAAACCAUAGGCUUAAAGGAUCAUCCCUUAUUCUUCGUAAUCGAGGAACGUGUGAUUUAUGCUAAAAACUACAUGGGCUUGAAAUUGUUAAAGCAUGAUUUUAAGGAUUUGAUGCAUGUAUUUUAUGGGGGUUUUGAAAACUAUAUUAUUUAUUAUGCAUUUUAAAAGUUUCAAUGCUACUAUUGCUUUGGCCUUGUGGUAUUUUCCCCUAAAUUGAUUUACAUAUAUAUGUAUAUGUAUGAAUUUGAGAUUUAAGAUUGUUGAGAGCAUAAAUUAUGAACUCCCUCUCUUGUAUUGAAUUAAAGAUUAUGGUUUUGUGAUUUGAAAUAUGUUUUUGCAAUAUCCUGGCAUUUGAACAUGAAUUGGAAUUGUUGAGAGGGUGUUUCUUGAUAUCAACAUGUUCUUGUGUGUAUGAGGAAGAAUUGCAUGUGUUUACAUGAGGUUUGAAAAAAAAAAGAUUCAUUGAAUUGAAUUAUUGAAAUGCUGGUCUCAAAACUUAUGUUUUGAAUACAAAGAUUUAUGAUAGACUAAUAAUGGCUCAGAGAUGUGACUUGUAAGUCAAUGGUAUGACGAUACCAUAUGUAUUUAUGCCAUAAAAGAUUAUAUUUUCAGAGCAUAUUUUCAGAGUAUGUUUUCAGAGACUGUAUGUUUUGAUAGAGUUUUAAAAAGUGGCUUAAAGUGGGUUAGGUGGUUACCCGAAGAAGGAGCUAGUUCAAGAAACUCUUAGCCUGAAACUGUAUUUGUCGAUAUGGGUAGAUUAUUAUUGUACACUGGCGACAGUCGUGUGGCGUAGUAGAUUUAGAAACUCCGACUCUUGCGGAACACUUGGGUUGGGAGCUUCGCUGCUGAGUUAAUGACAGUUUCCAUAUAGCCCAUGGAUUUUUUUAGAGUUGUAGGGUAUACCACCUAGCGCAGAAGUAACACAGAUUUCUCAGAGUUGAGAUGAUUUUUACAGAGUCUUUAAAAUGCCCAUGUGAAUUCUUACUACAUGAUAUACUUAUGAAUUGUUUUAAAUUGCUCUCAUAUAUUUUGAUUUAUAAAUGAUUAUUUUGGAUUUGCUCUGCGUACCAGUACAUCUGUAUUGACCCCUUCCUUAUCUUGGAUAUGCUCUGCGUACCAGUACAUCUAUAUUGACCCCCUCCCCCUACCUCUCAGUCUAGGGGUCUAGAUAAGCAGUAGAUAAUUCAGAAGCUGAUUAGAUUGUGCAGUGGUGAGCCUUCUCUAUUUCAGAAGGCCUGUCUUCUCAGAUUAUGUGAUACAAGAAUUACAAGGACAACACGAAACACACUUCAAAAUCAGUCCACAAGAUCAAAGAUCUAAGGACCCUUUUGAAGACCACACUCAGAUUCAACAAACAACAACAAUAACACAAUGUAUUGAUGUGUUUAUCUCCUAAAAACAUAUAACAACAAACUAUGUUAACAACAACGAUAUGAAGAAUAACAACAAUGGAACAAGAAUAACAAGUCACGGAUUUGAAUUACUAGAACACAAACAAACGAUUACAACAUAAACAAAAUGGAUAGAUAGUUAGACCUUGGUUAGUAUAAUCUUAAGGAUUCAAGAAUAUGGUAAUCUUGGACCCUUAACACUACACACAAUGGUUAACCUAACUCCUACGUUGACACAAGAGGAACUUUAACUCCUCUAAACACCAACGUCUCAAGCCAACAUUGCAACAUAAGUGAUAUCCACACUUGUUGCCCUCAUUUUCGUGUGGUGGCUAUUCCAAGCCCUACAACUAAAGGUUUUUCACGUUUCAAGUCUUACAUCAAUGAACAAAUAAUGACAAAAAGACCUAAAAUGUUCUAUUUAUAUUCCAAGCCCUACAACUAAAGGUUUUCACGUUUCAAGUCUUACAUCAAUGAACAAAUAAUGACAAAAAGACCUAAAAAGUUCUAUUUAUAUUUUAUAACAAGACAAGGCAAAAUGACAACACUGCCCUUAAAGGGUGGGGUGGCCAUGGAGUGCAUUUGGACCCAAUGAAGUGACCAAAAUACCCUUAAUGAAGAUGACCAAAUCAUGACCUAUUAAGUGUUGUCCAAAAUCGUGAGUCCUCAAGUCUUCGAUGCUCCAAGCAAUCUUCCACACACGGCCUUGCUUGUGUUCAAAAUGGGUCUUCCUUGCAUAUUCUUGUGCCCUCGGGGUGACCAAGUCUUAAGCCUUUAAAUGAAGACCUCCAAUCAUGUCUUCAAAAAUUAAGGUGGCCAUUUGACUUGUAUCAUUAUGUCACUUAUUUCAGUUUUGGUCUACUGGGGGCCUUAUACCAGUUUCAGACCGUUGUCAGAUUUCAUGUAGUAGAGAUUUUGCAGACUGAGUCAGAUUUUAUUUAGAUGUAUUUGAUUUACAGUUUCCAUACUUAUGUUGAAUUUAGAGUUGACCAUGUUUCUGUAGCAGAUUAUGUUUCUGCAUCUUCUUUAUUAUAUGAAUGUUGUGCAUGAUUAUCAGAUAGAGAAGGGCGUUCCAAGUAUAAAUAGUUCGAGAUGUCCGUCACGGCCAGGACCUAGUUCAGGUCGUGACAAAGAGUGUUAAGAAAAAAAGGGUGAAUGCUUUCUCCAUGAUUGCAUAAAUUAGUAGGGAAAUGGUUUGGUUAAUAACCUGUGGGUUGGAGUAUUUAAAUAUUGCCAAUUUUUACGAAUAUCUUUUUUAUUUUGGGAUAAACUUUCAUUUAUUCUAUCAUCUCAAUAAUUUGUUCCCCAACUUAAUUUAUUUUUCUAAUUUAUGUAGAGCCCAAGGACUUGACCAUUUCAAACAAAUCAAAUCAACUAAUUCUUGCAAACCGUGAUUGUGUGUUAACAUGUUUUACACAAAUUCAUCCAUAAGAAAGCAAGUAAAGCUGUCAAUAAAAAUGUUACACUGAACCUUGAGAAGCGGGGAGUCAGAACUUGAAUUUUAUGGGUUAAAAUUCAAAAAUAGUGACAUGUGUUAAGUGCUGAUAACCUAAUUCUGAAUUUAAAUUUGUACAUAUUUAAUGAAUUUUUUAAUAAAAAUAUUGAAUUUAGACUAAAGCUACUGAAUACUGUCGUAAACAACCUUCUACCUCCGUUCCGGCACAUACUAAAGUGUGGACACAUCAAGAAUUCAACUUUUCUUGUGUGGGCACAUCAAGAAUUCAACUUUUCUUGAUAUUCUUCUGGUGUGUGUCUCACAUUGUUGAAAAUGAGGAUGUAAAUGGUAUAUAUGAGUUUAAACCACAAAAAAGAGGGCUCUAUUUUGCUCAUUUAUAUUAUCUCACACAAUAUGACAUUUAGGACGUGUGCAUCUCACAUGAUUUGCCACUUAGUGCACAUGUGUUUAAAUUUUUUAACUUUAUGAUAGUUUAAGUGUCUACUUGUACACACCCAAAGUUGUAUGUAUAGAUGUAUGAGGUCAUCUAGAAAAAAUUUUUUCGAAUCUUUUUUCUAAGAAAAAGGAAAAAACAACCUUUCUUCAUUUAUUCCAUCAUAUAAAUAUUAAUACAACUAAAAUAUCGUUUCAGUAAAACAAAAAAAUGGUUGUUGUCCAUUUGAUAUCCAAGUGUAGCAGCCAUUCAUUUUAGAUGUAAAAGAUAAAUUUUCCCAAGUUAUGUGGGGGCAUCAACGAUGUCUACCAAUGCAAUAAGUAGAUAAAGAUGUCCUACACUGUUUGGAUGGUUGUUACUUAUUAUUUAAUAAUGUAUUAUAUAUUUAACGUAAAACCAAGAUUUUCACUAAGAAAUUGAUAGUUGGUUUAAAAUGAAGGAUUCUUUUGUUAUGUCGCAAUUAUAUUUUUCUCUGUGAGUUUCCAAAUAACAUAAAAGUGGACACCUUGUGUAGUCUAUUUAAGUUAGCAAAGGUUUUAAAAGAGAAGUUUGUUAUUUGAUUUUCGCGAUUAAAUACGUGCUUGGUACUACUCCUUCGAGACAAUAUUAACAAAAUAAUAGUCAUGACUUAAGUCAUCGACAGUUACUUUAAGUUGUUCCGAAAAUUCAACUCAGACUUGUCCCUAUUGAAUACUCUUGUACCCAUUGAAUACAUUUACUACUUGAAUUUAAACCAUCUAAACAUAUUUUUAACAAUAAGCUAUAAAUGUAAAGUGUGUGUAGGGCAAUUGUGACGCAGAAAUAAAACAAAUUAAAUGAUGCUAUUUGGCAUGUGAAUCCAAAAAAAUUGUAAAAUAAUAAUGGUGACAAUUUACAAUUUUUGAUUAAAAAAGAAAAAGAAAAUCAAUUUUUUCCCCUNNNNNNNNNNNNNNNNNNNNNAAUCUUAUUUCUUUAGCAAUUCAAUUCAUAGUUAUUGCUAUUUUUCUUCUUCUUGUGUUGUGGGUUCCUUAGAAUUUGAAUUCUUUAAUAAUAUCAAUAAAGUAAUCUAAAAUUCAUAUCAAGUUAGCCGAAAAAAAUGAAGUUUCACUGGAAAAAAUGGAGUUUUCCAGUUCAAGAAUCAAAUUUGCUACCACUGCUUUUUUUUUCUUUUUCUGUUACAUAAAUUUGUGAUUACAUAUAUAGCUCUGAGAUUGUUUGAUCUAUAAUCGGUCUUUAAUUGAUGAAUAAAGAAUAUAUUGCAUAUAUGUUCAGCAAUGACUGAUUAAAGAAAAGAAUGGACGAAUUUAAAAAACUUACAAGAGUGUUAAGAAUUUAAAAAAUAAAAAAAAUACAGAUGAUCAUAAUACAUAAAUAUGAUCUUAUACUUGACACCAAAUUAUAACUUUGACCUUAAACUUUGACAGUGCACAAAUAUGACCUCCGAUCCUACGUGGCAAAACGUGUGCUUAACAUGCAAAAUUGGGCGAGUCCAGCUAAGAAUCUAAGGGCAUCAUACAUAAAUAUGACCCUAAACUUGACACCAAAUUUAUAACUUUGACCUUAAACUUUGACAGUGCACAAAUAUGACAUCUAACUAUUCAAAACUGUACGAAUAUAACCUUCAAAUGACUUUUUACUAUUAUUUUUUGACUAUUUUUGGCUCAAAAAUGAAAAUGGCAUCUAAUUUCUUUUGUCAUUGCGAAAAAAGAGCAAUAUUGAAAAUUUAUUAAUUAGGUGGGUCAGUCUCAUACGAAAAAAUCGCGCGGAUAUGUAUAUAUAUUAUAAAGCAAAGGGCGAAUUUAUGUUAUAUGAUAUAUCUAUAUAAUUUAUUUAAAUAUUAAAUUAAAGAUGAACUAUACUAAUAAUAAAAAAAUUAUAGUUUUAAUAAAACACUAUUAAAUUAACGUUAUUAAGGAUAGUAGUAGUAGUAUAUUAGAUUAACAUUAUCAAAUUAUCACUAUUAAAAUGUUAGUAUUAAAUUAACGUUAUCAAAACAUUAUUAAAUUAACUCAGGGGCAGAUCUAUGUGGUUGUCAUGGGGUUCACCCGAACCCCCUCGGUAAAAAAAUUACAUUGUAUAUAUAAGGUAGAAAAUAUAUAUUUAUGUAUGUAUAUUAAUGUUGAACUACAUGAAACCAGACACUUAUAUCGCCUAGUGGUGUUAUUUGCUCUUCUUGGGCGCUUUCUUCAGCCUGCUGUGCGAAUUCGAUCCCUGCUAGUGGCCUUUUUUUUUAAAUAAAAAAUAGUUAGGUGUUGCUGCUAUAAAUAAAUAAUAAUAAUAAUAAUAAUAAUAAUAAUAAUAAUAAAAACAUCCUAUUUAGUGUAAUAUUUGAAUUCAAUAAAGUGAGGUACACGCGCGAGGUACGUACACCUAAUAAUAAUAAUAACAAUAAUACCAACUCUUUUGUAAGUAAUUACACUCUCUCCCCCUUUUUUAAUUACUUUACUCUCUCUCCCUAUUAAUAUGCAUAAAAUAACCGACAUAUACACAAUAUUGUGUAUAUUGGGAUUUUUGUAAUAUGUUUAGGGAGUUUAGAUUUUUUGUAAUAUUGGAAACAUAAGUUGUGUAUUUGUGUAAUUUUUAGUAAUAAUAAUAAUAAUAAAAGCAACGUCGUUUUAACACAAAAAGCAAAACUUUGACAGUGCACAAAUAUAACCUUUAACUAUUCAAAACUGCACAAAUAUGACCUCCCUCCAAGUCAUUCCUUUUAACGAUGUGGCACCAUGUGAUUGGAUGAGCUUUCCACAUAGGCGCGAGUGAAACUCACGCAUGGGGGUUGCAAAAUGGAGGUCAUAUUUGUGCAGGUUUUGAAUAGUUAAAGGUCCUAUUUGUGCACUAUAAAAGUUUAAGGUCAAAGUUAUAAUUUGUUAUCAAGUGUAGGGUCAUAUUUAUGUAUUAUGCCUUUAUAUUUUAAUUAAAACUAGUAUUCAUACCCGUGUGAUGUACAGUUAGUAAUAAAAAAUUGACAUAGCAAAUUUUACAUAUAUAUGUAUGUGUGUAUGUGUGUGUAUGUAUAUACAUAUGCACUAUCAACCAUCAAAUAUGUUUAAUUAUUGUUGAGUCUUCAAACUCAAAUAUUCAUCUGAAUUGAAACUUAACCUUUAAUCAUGUUCACCAUCUAAACUUAUUGUAGUACGGAUGCCAAUAUAUAAUAUUAUACUAAUUUUCAAGAUUUAUAUAUUUAUAUAGAAUACCUAAUUUUAUGGAAAGAUUAUGAAUUCACAUUCCCCAUUCUUUUAAUAUAAAUUCGCAGUUGUUAACAUGAAAUACAUGAUAAAGCUUAAUCAAAGCACUCCAAUAUGCAUUAUAUAAUAGGAUAGAAUUUAUCGUUAAUAUAUGUGCAACAAACCUAACUACAUUAUAGUAGAGCCCUUCAAUAAGUGGUGGAGCCAGGAUUUUCGCUGAGAGAUUUCGAAUGUAUAUAUACGAAUUAUUCAAAUGGGGUUCAACAUCUACUAUAUAUGCACAAAAAAUAUAUUAACUAUGUAAAAAUAGUAUAAAAACAAUAUAAUUUUUCGUCGAAGAGGGUUCGAAUGAACCUCGAAGGGAAGGUGGCUCCACCACUGGGAUUCAAUGAUCAAGAAAAUCUAUAAAAUGCUUGCAUCCAUAAAUACAUCGAUCACAAUCACAUCCAAUUUAAUCAUUAGCACUUGGCAAGUGCUGUUUUCAUCUGUCUAGUGGCCAAUAUUUGUCAUUUCAGAAACCACAAUAUUAAUAAGAAGUUUAGGAGCACCUUAGAAAAGCAAUUAAAUAUCAAUUAAUAGAAUAAAGUGAAAUUAAGAAAAAUGCCUAAAAUAGAAUUAUUUUAUCUUUAUCCAUAUUGAAAGAAAAAUAUUAUCAAGGGAAGUACUAUUACAUCUAGAAUACUAAUUAAUCAAGAUAAAAUGAAAGAAAGUUGAGUAAAAUUAAACAUUCAAUAUUCACAUGGCGCCUUCAGUAUACUCUUUGUGUUUGACUUAUUUGACAACUUAUGAUCAAACUGAUAUGAUCUAAAAUAGCUUUAAGAUCAAGAUAACAAAAAUAUUAGUGAGGUACUGAGGUAUAAAUGCGGACAUCAAGCUAAUACUUGGACAAAAUAGCUAUAUUUAAAUUCCAAAUUCAUAACAUAAAAUAUAGUAAUGAACUUUUACCACAAAAUCGAAGAAUUUAAGCAAUUAUGAUUUCAUUUGACAUAUCUCACAAAUAACUAUAAAAAAACUUCAAAAUCAGCAUAACUAUCCUCCUGAUAAAUAAACAAAAGUCCCAAGAAAAAUUAUUCAUCUAAAAUUGAUUUAAGAAACACCUAAUUUGAAUCAGUAAUAUGACCUCUAUCGCCUUUAUAUAUAUUGUAAAGACCACCUGAAACAACAAAAAAUUCAUAGAGGCUAUAUAGAAUUAUUAAUUUCUUAACUUUGAAAUAAACACAAAAUUUGACACUUGUAAUGUUCUAAUUUUCAAAAAAAAAUAGGUAUAGAUAGAAGAUUCAUAUGAGGUAGACAACUCACAUGUCGUAUUGUAGUUUUAAUUUACUCUAAUAUAACAUAUAAUACAACAAUUAUUGUUUGUCUUCACUAUAACAUUUGUCGCUAGCAACAUAAGAUUCCAGAUUUGUAUUUUGGCUAGGAAUUGAACUUCUUCUAACUAAUCCAUUUGAGGUUUAAGGGGAUUUGUUCAAAUUUAAAUGCUUCCUAAGAUAACAUCUAUUUUCCUAUUACACUGUACACAUGCACUGAAUACAGUAACCAACCAAACUAUCUACUUCGAUGGUACCUAUCCUGUUAUUUCAUCUUUCAACUAAAGUAAUUAAUUAAUAAUAAUUUUAAUAAUUUGGAUAAUUAUUUAUUGCAAUUUUAAUGUUUUUUUUAUUUUUUAAUAAAGAAAAUAUUUUUCUCCUAUUGCGUAGGAACGUGUAAAUGUGGGAUAGAAGUUUAGAAGUGGUUUAAACGGAAUCAGUAACUAAAAUAUUUUUAAAUGAUAAUUACCUACUUUGUGUAGAUUUUUACAAAAUGGGUACAUUAGGAUAAUGACAAAGUAAAAACUAUAAAAGAGAAUUAGAUUAAAAUUACGAGAAGUUAUAAUUUUUUUAAACUAAAAAAAGACAUCAUGGGGAGAAGUUAUAAUCAGUUUAACUCCCUGAGGAGAAGUUAUAUUCAGUUUUACACUCAACAUACUCAACCAAUUAGGAUGUUGACUUGAAUUAACUGAAAUAUAAUUUUAUAUAAAAUAAUUUGUUCAUCUUAUCUUAAAUUAAAUUACAGAAAAAUUUUCAUAUUAUUUCAAUUGAAAAAUACCUCACUAACAUCAAUCAAUUCAUAUAAAUGUAAAGCUACAUAACUCAUACUUAUCAAUUUUCUUACCUACAAAGCAAAUCAUAAAAAAUAGGGAAGAACGAUAUCAAGUAUUUCCAAUUAUAAUAAGUAAUAACAUGAAUCCACUAUCUAAUAAUUAUUUAUUUUUUGCUAAGACUAUCUAAUAUUUACAACAUAACAAAUGUCGCUACUUAAGAAAAUACAUAAAAAUUAAUAAAAAUUUAGCAAAUUUUAUCGGAAGUUGUGCAUAUUUUUAAAAGCAGUCUAAUAAAAGAAAAUAUCAUUACCAAUAUUUGCAACACAAUUUGAAUGUAAAAUACGUAGAAGUUACUUCCAAGUCUUUUUAAUAAUCUGUAACGAAGACAUUUGGUAUGAUUUUGAAAACUUGACAACCAAAAUGCAGACAUAAAUUUGUGCAAAAACAAAACAAAUACCAACCCAUAUUUUACUAAAAUAAGUUAGAAGAAUCAAAACUUCUCAAUCAGUAUGAUAAAAAUAAAACAAAACAAUCAUAUUUUCAGUCUCACAAUCAGUAUGUCAUACUAUUCCCAAAAAUUAAAAAAAUAGAAAAAUACCUUCUCCUAAAAUCAGAAACUGAAGUCUAUUUAUAUGUAGAAAUUAUAGCAAGAAAAUACUCUAUCUUUAUUAUGACAUCACGUGAGUCACCAAAGAUGUGGAAGGGGUCUACAAAGAAUUCGUAAAUCAAACCACUAUGACACGAUUCUUUUACUUACAGUAUUGUUUUGCAUUGAUUGUGUCUGAUUUUUUUGCCUCCCUUUCCGAUCCACAUACUCAAUGAUAAGUUUAAGUGAUAUGAAAAGGAUUUUUAGAAUUUUGUUUUGAGCAUUUUUUGUCAUUGAAGUGACUAUUAGAAGAAGAUGGAGUCAGUUAUCAAACAUGGAAGAAUGAUUGUUUAAAUUAAGAAUUAACUGUAACAAUAUAAUAGAACUGAUUUGCAGUCUUAAUUUUUGUUUUUUGCUUUCUAUUGGUUAUCUUUUAGAUUUAUUUAUAAUAAUUAUGUAAUUUCUGCUGAGCUUUAUCCUUAAAUGCCAAGUGGCUUAAUAUUGGGCUGCCACUUGGCUUAAUGUAGUGACUUUGUUCUCAACUUUUAAUAAUAUAUAGAUAUAGAUUUGUUAUUAUUAGAAUUAUUAAUAAAAUAAAUUGAAGUGUCAUUUUUUUAACAAAAAUAAAAAAAAUACCAUUUGGUUCUCUAUUCACACUGCUAAGGAGAGUGAAUAACACUUUCCUUACCAUAUCAACACUAUAAGCCUGAUAGGUGUAAAAUUGAAUAGGUUAGGGGCCUGAUAGGUACAGGCCUUAGUUAAGGGUCUAAGUGAUUUUCAGGACAACUUGAAGUGGUUGUCAAAGACCUAAGCCUAAUAGUCAUCAUAGAUUUAGUUCUUGAUCAUCAGGCUACCCUCGGAUUAUUUCCUCCAUACUUAAAUUGUGUUGCUAAGGAGAUCUCGUUGAGGUAAAUGUCAUGCUUAAUGUGGUAUGUUGUUGUUAGUUCAGCAUUGUAAGCAUAUUGGGUACAUGUUCUUUCCACACUCAUGCAUUUCGCGCACGAGUGGACCAUGAUGUUUGAUUGAGUCAGAAGCUCUACUUCCUGCUUGCUAUAUUUUUUUGUGAAGACAUAUUUAUGUACUCUUUAUUGUUGUUUAGACAAACUCAACUUUUGAUGUUAUCACAGAUUGAUUGUAUACUACACAUCUGGCUAGUGUCGAUAAGCGUCAGAUAUUCUGUUUAUAAUCCUUAGGGACAAAUAUACCCUCGAAUUAUGAUAAAUGAUAUGUAUAUACCCUCCGUCAUACUUUGGAUACACAUAUACCCCUACCGUUAAUGAAAUGGUACGUAUAUGCCCUUCACACUAACGAUAGGGGCAUAUGUGUACCCAAAGCAUGAUGGAGAAUAUAUAUACAUACCAUUUAUCAUAGUUCGGUGUAUAUUUCACACUAACGGUAAAGAUAUAUGCGUAUCCAAAGUACCCAAAGUAUGACAGAAGAUAUAUACGUACCAUUUAUCAUAGUUUGGGAGUAUAUUUGUCCAUUUUCUAUUUCAACAAUGCCACUUUUGCAUUAACGCUAGAAAACAAAGGUUGUUCUUCAACCACAAUACGCUGCAGCAGCGACGCCAACUGAACUCACAUCUAUAUAUUAUUAAAAGGAGAGGACAAAUAUUUUUCAUUAAGCCAAGUGGCAGCUUAAGAAUAAGCCACGAGGUAGUUUAGUAACAAAAAUUAGUUAUGUUGGUUGUUAGUUACUAUUUUUAAAAUUCAAAAUCUUAUAUAUUUGUAUUAAAAUUCAAAAAGAAAAUGGAUAAAAAUUAAAGUCAAUUUAACUUAAUCAGAAUUGCACAUUAACUGCAAAUACUAACUGCUUAACACAAACAUCCAACCAA
Molecule: long non-coding RNA, 65576 nt
Filed under: Capsicum annuum
Lineage: Eukaryota; Viridiplantae; Streptophyta; Magnoliopsida; Solanales; Solanaceae
Description: long non-coding RNA (CANN_LNC007362)
Source: RNAcentral